AAGUCCUAGUCAUUUACUCCGUGUUUCGAAUGUCUAACAAAAUAUCGUCUAAUCAAACUUACCAAACAAGCUCCAAGGGUUCUGAAAGCGGUUUCACCAAUUCAGCCCUUACAAUGAUUUAUGAAUAAUGAAUGCUAGGAUUUUCACAUCUAUCUUGAUUUUCACUCAGACUUGCGCUUAGAAUAUCUCCUUGCAUUCGACUUUCCAAUGCCACUUGUACACCGACCUACAAACUUGAGAAACUCGUCUAUUAAAAUGACAGGCAUCGCUACCAUAAGUACCAAUCCCCACUCGUUCAGGCUUAGGGGCACUAUGCCGAAUACUUGAGCAAGGAAAGGCACAUAUAGGAUCAAGAAGUGCAGGCCGAAUGAGACUGACAUAGCCAAAAGGAGCCAUGGGUUGACCCAAGGAGGCAUCGAUAAGAGGCUUCCGUCCUCAGAGAGGGCAUUUAGGGAAUUAAACAUCUCGAUGGAGACCAGUACAGAGAGCGAGAGAGUCAUGGCCUUGAUUUUACCAGUUUGGAAGUAGUCGCAUGGAUUUUCAUCAUAUGUGAACACUUGUGCUCCAGCUGUGAAAGGUGAAACUGAGAAGUUCGUCCAAAUGUGACAUUGACCCCAGUUGGCAAGCUGGGAAUAAGUGACAAGGCUGUGACCAUCUCCACUUAGGUCAAUGCCAAAGAAAGAGGCAUGAGUGUACCAGAUAACGAAUAUUCCCACAGUUGCUAUACCAACAUAAGAUCCAAUCACCUGCAUAAACGUUUAAAGCCUCACAGGUUAAAUACAUAUCCAAAGCAUAUUUGGAUAAAGCUAGAAGUAACUUCAAACUUACUUUUCUAUGAAAGUUUUUUUCCUAAAUAUAUUUGGUUGUGGUGCUUUUUCUUAUAUAAGUGAAAAUGUGAUUAAUUAUGAAAGCAAUGAAGUGUUACUUAAAAAUUAAGUAAUUAUUCCAUACUUUGACCAACUAAAAAAUUAUUUACUUUUUACUUAUAAGUAAACUUAUAGUGAAUUUUAAGCUCAGACAAACUUGCAUAGGAGUUCCAAUUAGAAGGAGUGGUGAAAAGAAUCAAACAUACCAGAUAUCGGAAGAGAAUCCAUGCACUGAUCAACGAGUCAUCGCUUCUUCGUGGCGGUUUCUUCAUUAUAUCCUUGUCUGGUGGAUUGAAUCCCAGAGCCGUAGCUGGCGGUCCAUCGGUAACCAGGUUAACCCACAGAAGCUGAACUGGGAUCAGACCCUCUGGGAUACCUAAAGCAGCUGUAAGGAAUAUUGAGGCAACCUCACCGAUGUUCGAGGAAAUCAUGUAUCUGCACAAAGGAAAAAACUUUUAAGUCUAAAUAUGUGCAAAUUUUGCGCACAUCCAUUAGUAACAUGCUGAAAACUCGGAACACAUUCUUCCUCUAUUGGAAAAAUAUUGGGGGUGAACUGCAAUUUAAUGCUAAUAAACCAUCUUCCAGCCGCAGGUUUGAACUCACAGAAAACACAGUGGAACAAAUGAACAAUGCAAGCAUGUAGCCCAGUAUCUGUUCACAUUUUCUUGUACAAACCAGUACUACUUCAACCCUUAAAAUCUGUGGAUUUUAAGGAAGAAAAUAUCUAGACAAGUGUGUACUGAUCACAACAAGGCCUGGACAAGGGAGAAACGAGAAUGAAGGCUAUUAGUAGUUUAGCAUGUGUGCUAAACUUUUCAACUUUCAAGCUAUUUUAUUCUGUAUGUAAUCAUAUGUUUCCAGUCAAUUGUGCAAUCCAGUUGAGAUUUUUGAUCGCGCACUCACAUGCCUCCGUGCACGAAGGUGCAAUAGUUACAAAGGCUAUACCAAACGUGGUGAGGAAGGCCAUUAUGCCAUAAUAAUACGUAUGGCUCAGGUCAAAAUGACAUACACAAGCUCAGCAUAAGACAAGUCAUCGACAAUGAUUUAAAUUCCCUUGUAUCUUGGGGGUUAGUUCGUUAAACUUGUUCUUCUGUUAAGGUACAAAAUAUGUUUUAGCUUUUGUUAUACAACUAAUGCCAAUAAGUCAGGUCAGUUACAUAACUUUGGUUUCACCAUCAAUUUGUAAGCUCUUAUUCCCUUCAAUCACUUAAAUCCUUGCCCAUUGAUUGUUAUUUUCAGUGGUGAAGGAGCUGACCUCCACAAAUGUAAAAUUCAUAGCCACCAAAUGGAAACUAUUUAUUAAUAAAUUGUUAGCACAGACAUGUCCCACCUCAAUAAAAACUGCGGUGUCUUUUCUAAAUUUCAACGACCAAAAACAUAUUUCACCAGCACUCUGGCUGUUCAAAUUACUUAUUAGCUUCAACUCUAACUAUUUGCCCAUAGUCUCGAUAAUCCCACGUUCAGAGUACUUAACAUCCAGUGAGAAACAGAAUAUAUGUGAACCUGCACAUAAUAUGCUAGAAACAAGUCUUAUAACUUGGUAAAGAUACAAAUUAAAGGCAAAGUAUCAGAUAACCUGAUGAAUGCCUUCAUGUUAUUGUAAAUGGAUCUGCCUUCACCAACAGCAGAAACUAUUGUACUGAAAUUAUCAUCUGCUAGAACCAUGUCAGAAGCCUCCUUUGCAACCUGAAACGAAAAAUUGUGAUUGAGAUAAAUUGCCUGUCAGGUCAUCAUGUCAGUGAAUGAACAAACACAUGCAGUUCACUUGAAAUAAGUACACAAGCAACUUAGUCAGUACAUGAACAAAUUCAUAUGGUUCAAUUGAAAUUAGAAGUGCACAUGCAGUGCCGGUUCAUUAUAGCCCUCUUAAUUCGCAUUACAAUGAAUGCUCCAGGUUAGCACAUUGGACUCCCAACUAUUAAUGCAUAAUUUGGUUAAUUCAGGAUUCCAAUUUGCACACAUACCUCAGUUCCAGCAAUUCCCAUUGCAAUCCCAAUAUCAGCCAAUUUCAAGGCAGGUGCAUCAUUCACUCCAUCCCCAGUCAUUGCUACCACUUCACCUGAUUCCUUAAGCAACCUCACUAUCUCUUGUUUAUGCCUUGGUUCAGCCCGAGAGAAGAGAAGCCCUCCAUCUAGUUUUAGAUGUGUUGCUUUCUCACUGCCAGGAAGCUCCAUAAAUUCCUUUCCUGUCAAGCUUCUUGAACUGAUGUCCUCAUGGUGCCCAAAGACACCUAUUUCACGACAAAUAGCUUCAGCUGUAUUUUUGUUAUCUCCAGUAAUUACCAUAACACGAAUGCCAGCUGUUCUGCAAUCCUCUAUUGCUUGAGUGACCUCUUUGCGAGGAGGAUCCUUUUAAAAUUAAACAUAAAACACAAGCAAUGUAGUUAUUAUCUUGUUGCUAACAAGAAAUGGAAUAUAAUAUUAGGGAGUCCAAAGAAAAGAUGUACUUAAGAAACAAGCUUGCACACUCACUCUCAAACCAGCCAUGCCAACAAAAAUUAGAUUGCUCUCAAUUGGAGAAUAAUUUGCAGGAUUGAGCAAGAGCUCAUGAGCUGGAUGGUCUUCAUCGCCAUUAUAUGUAGCAAAUUCCUUCAGAUCCUCCUUGUAUGCAAAACCCAAAACUCGUAAUGCACUAGUUGACAUUUCACAGAGGCUUUCCAAAAUAGUUUCCCUCGAAUUCUGAUCUAAUUCUACAAUAGAGCCGUCAAGCAACUGCAAGAAAGAGCUUCUCUCCAAUAAAUUCUCUACAGCACCCUGCCAUAAUGUAGUAUAUAAUUUGUAGAAAUCUUUUAGAAGUUAAAAACAUAAAAAAGAGUUUGAAGAUGCAGCAAAUUUAGAAUAUGCAAACAAGUAAUACAGAAAACAUUGACCGGUGUAGUGAAGAAGUCUGAUUGUAGCAUCUUGAAAACAUCACUCAGUGAAAGCCAUAUUUAGUAAUUUUUUCUUUGCAGCACUAAUUACAGAAACAGUCAGGUGGCUGUGUUAAAGAAGAAUAAAGGAAACACAGAUUGCACCUUCACAAGCAGGGACUUUUUCCCUGAGCGGGAACACGCUAUGACUCCCAUUGACUUUCUAUCUCGAUCAAACUCAAGAGUGGCAAUCCGCUGUUCAAUUUUAUUCCAUGUGUGGGAGCAAUCUUGGAUGCAUCAAAAUAAACAAGUUGACAUCAACAUAUUAACUGGUAUGAUUUGUAUAAAAACAAUUCAAUAAGGUAGAGCAUCUUACUCAAUACACCAUCAUAACCUGAGGAGGCACCUGAAUGUAAUCCACUUGGAAGGCCCAUUUUCUCAACCAGAACCUGAGCAUUAAACAAUCAUGUCAAGAAUCUGAUUUUCAUUCAAAUAUUGAUUACUACCUCCUAGAAGCAAAAAUCACUCAAGGAAUGUAUGUAGAGGCAUCAAGCUUCCAUCAUCUGUGAGCAAAUUAUCAAAGAGGUACAAAAACACGUAAAGGUAAAGGAAAUGACCCAGAAAAAGGACAGAAUACUGCCAAGAACCAGCAAUGGAACUAACCCUGUCAUCCUUAAUCUUUAGGGCCUGGAGUAUACUUUCAUUUGUCAUAAAAUUUUCCAAUUUGAGCAACAUGCAAGAAGCCUUAUUGUCAUGUUUAUUUCCUUACAUGGAAAUUAAAAAAAAAGGGCAAUCCGCAUAGUGAAGCUUUACUUGAAAAAUGCUGACAAAAUCAUGCGCAGAAUGCAGGAUAAAUGUGUUUAUACUCGCUGUACCUUUAAUGCCGCCUCAGUGGGCAUUCCAUUGGCAACAUGAUGAUGUUCAGAUUUUUCUACAUCGGCAUCAUUGCACACAGCAGCAAUCUUUGCAAUCAUUUGAAGAUUAAGAUCUAGCUCACCCACUGGCCAAUUUUGUAUAUUUCCGUCAAAAGGAUUAUAAGUGGUCCCUUCCACAUUGAAUGAUCGAAGAGCAUUUGCCUUGGAACCCAUGGCAACUAGCUUAGCCACUGCCAUCUGGUUGGUAGUCAAAGUACCAGUCUUAUCUGAACAAAUCACAGUUGUGCAACCAAGUGUUUCAACACUUGGCAACUUUCGAAUGAGUGCAUUCUUAGCAGCCAUCUUCCGGGUUCCAAGGGCCAAGCAAGUUGUAAUAACUGCAGGUAAACCUUCAGGAAUAGCAGCAACUGCCAAAGCUACGGCAAUCUCAAAGUAAUAAGUGCACUUCUCAAAUGAAAACUUAAAAUUUCUAGGCCAGCCAUCAAUGAAUUCCCAAGAAAGGAAAUAUUUCACAUUAAUCAGCCAAACCAGAGCACAGAUUACUCCGAUUAUAGCAGUUAAAGCUUCUCCAAACUCGUUUAAUUUCUUCUUCAGCGGUGUACCUUCCUCACUUUGCGAUGCCUCAUGAAUCUGAGAAUGCACCUUCCCAAUUUCAGUAUUCAUCCCAGUCUGCAUAACCAGACAAAUACAGUGUCCAUUCACUACUGUUGUCCCAGCAAACACCAUACACUUCUUUCCCUGAAUAUCAACAUCCUCAGAGACUGCAUUUUUGGUCUUAUUUACUGCCUCGCUCUCUCCAGUCAAGGACCCCUGUUCAACUCGAAGAGUCGAGCUGAUCAAACUCAAAACCCUCAUAUCAGCUGGAGCCUUAUCUCCAACUCUCAACUCCACGAUGUCCCCUGGAACAAGCUCUUUUGCUGGUAAAUUUGAAAUUUUUUUCCCCUCGCGGAGAACAGUCGCAUGCUCCGAUUGGAUUUCCUUCAAUGCCUCUAGCGCUUUCUCCGCAUUGUUCUCUUGCCAAACCCAACAAUUGCAUUCACAAUUAAUAUCAAGAAUAUCACUAAAGGUUCCACGAAAGCUGUUAUCUCCAUCUCCCCACCUUCCUCUCCAUCAUACCAUGCCAACACAAAGGAUAUCACAGCAGCCACAAGUAAAAUUCUGACUAAUGUAUCAUUGAACUGAUCCAGAAUUAAUCUAAAAAUGGAUGUCCCCUCAUGUUUCUCCAACUCAUUAAGCCCAUAGAUCAGUCUCCUUUUCUCAACAUCAGCGCUGGACAAACCAUUCUUCAGAUUUACUUGAUACCUCUCUGCACACUCGUCCACAUCUUUCGACCAUGGAGCAUAAUUUUCUGCUUUCGACUCCGAUUUAGCACCCAAAUUCUCUGUCUUACCAUAAUUUUGCCCUCCUUUUCCCAUCAAUUAAUCAAAGAAUAAUUCACUAAACAGUUAUCCAAUCACGGAACUCACUAAAAUCCCGCAACAAAAUUCCUGAAAUUCAAAAAAUUCAACACAUUAUUAUCGUCAUCAUUUGAAAAAAUAAAAAAUCCACAACACAAACCCAGGAGGGAAGAUUUACUCAUCAACUAAAAGAUCUAAAACUACCAGUGAAACAGGAAUUAAAAUACGUAAAAAAGGCAAAACCCCAUAUAACACCCCCAUCAUUCAAAUAACCAUAUAGAUUCACACACCGACACAAAAAUAUCUAUAUAGAUUCAAAGAACAUAACUUACCACAAUUUUGGAGCGGCAGUUAGAGAAGCUUUUCUAAAUGUUAGUUAAUUUUAGAGAGAAAAGAGAAAAGGAACAGCAAUGUGAUUGCUGCAAUCGCUUCGUUUGCUUCUCCGUACAUUCUUCCCCAAUCUCUAUCUUAUAAUAUUCUAUAUAAUUAUUUUUGAACUAUAUGCUGCCAUCGCCACUCCUAUAUUCCAAUUCUAAGACGAAAUGACACAAUUGCCCUCAAAUGUAUAUUACAGGCAGUUUACUCACUUGAAUAAAGCAGUAGGUAGCAGGCCCCUGCCAGGGGAAGAGAGAGGGGGCGGAUCCCACUCAUUAUUUUAUUUUAUUUUUAUUUAUUUAUUUAUUUAUUUAUUUUUUUUUUUGUGAAAUGUGUGUGGGGCCGACCCCUACAAUGAGGGGCCUCACAGGCCCAGUGAAUUGAGGUUUUGUACGUGGAGCUCGAUUUUACUUAUUUAUUUGGUUGUAUGUUUAUGUAGUCUUUGAUAUUUAUAUUGUAAUGUAAUAACCUAAUUAAACUAGUGGAAAUUGGGUCAAAUAGCCUAUCUCAUGAUAAUAUUUGCAAAUUAAAAUGGAUGAAAUAGGUCCUUUUUUUUUUUUUUUUUUUUAAAAAUGUAAGAAUGAAUGGUUGAAAAAGAAGGAAAAUUUUUCGAUUUACGUGUAAUAUUAUUUUAUGAAAAAUUGUGUAAUUGAAAGUAGGAGAAAAAAAUAAAAUUUAAUUUAAUGGGGGUCAAACGAGGUUAGCCUAUAACCAGGAUAAAAGUUUUAAAAUAAAUAUUUUAAAUUAAUAUUAAAAAACUACCUGAAUUACUCUUAUUCAUUCAACACAUCCCCUUCCCUUUUCCAAAUCCAUCUCUUAUCUCUUGAAUGUGGAAACCCGUCCAACUCACCAUUGUUUUUUCCCAUUUUAACGCCUAUACUUCUAUAUAUUCUUCAUCUAAAUGAGAUGAGGUUAGUAUGUAAUUGAUCUUCCAUUUUGAACGUUACCAUCUCCUCGAGCAGCUUCAGUGUGAACAACGCUCGACACAAACAACCACCAUUGUGAAUAGCCCAUUCAAGUAAACAAUUUUUUCAGUUGCAUUUAUCACUUGCAUGGACGAACAGGUAAUUUCCCUUACACCUUGUUGUUUAUUAUUCUAAUCACAAUAUAAUGCUCUAAGAAAUUUAUAGCAUUUUGAGUUUAUAUGUUGUAAUACAGAGAAAUUAUACUAAAGGUGGCUAUGACCUGUUUGUUGAAAUUCUCAAGUGAUUGGUGGAACUUUGUUACUCUUUUUUCUUUAUAAUCUUUUCCCCUAGGUUGCUAGAAUUGAUAAUAAACGGGUUUUGCAACUUAGAAUCAAUAAAGAAGAGUUGUGGGGAUAGUGUGAAAUGGUGAGGUAUCUUUGAAGGAAAUGCAGAGACUAUUAUUUGCUCACAAAGUAGGAAAAGAUGAUUUUUUAGGACAUGAUUGAGUGAUACAGACAACCAAAAUCCUUCAUCCCUCUCCUCACUAUUUAUUUAUUUGCCUUUUACACUGGAGUCGAUGGCGCUGCUAUUACUGAGCAACUCUAUAAGAUAUGCUUCACUACUUAUUUCAUUUGGCUUGUUCACUUGGCUCUAUGGAAUUAGAUUUUAAUUAGUUGUUUUAUUUUGUUGUAAUAAAACAAAAGCAUUUUGAAAAUUUGAUUCAUUCAUUCACUAAGCCCUUUUAAGGUGGUUUGUAUUUGAUGAUGCGAGCUUUAGCUUAAUUUCCUAAACAUAAGGUCCAUGCUGAUUUUGGCUUUUGAUUUGAAGGCCUAUAUGUAGUCAAUUUUCUCUCUUGUUUCCCUUCUUUGAGAAUUUACUUUUGCAGGAGUAUGCAUUUAGUUAAUAGGUAGCUGGCAAUUAUCUCUUCCACUUGGUAGUUGGUACCAAGGGAUCUAUUUCCAUUAUUAUCAAGUAUCAACUUCUUUUGUUCUUUUCCUUCAACAGUAAUAUUUAUCGAUUUUUUUUUAUUUUUUUUAUCACUUGGAAAGCCAUAUCUUGUAGUAGCUUAUAAGAAUCUAAAUUGUUGGAACUUAUCAAGUUGUACCAUUAAUGAAGCCAAAGUUUUAUGGUGAACCUUAGAGGGUAAUGAGAGGUAAGGUUCCUGGAUUCAUAAAAGAGUAGUUCAAAGAAGCCAUCAAUUAGUCCGUUGGCUCCUAGUUUCUUCAUCUAAUUAUUCUUAUUAAUGGACGGAUGAAGUUAGGUAUUAUUGUCUACUUUGAUGUGUAAUUCUAUUUGAAAUUGUUAUGUACGUCUCUCAGAUGCCCAUGUAUAUCGAAUGGCUUACAUGCUUUGGUAUAUUCCAAUGACAAUGAUCUUGUUUAAUUACAAAUAAAGCCACUCUUGACUAGAUGUAUUCAAGGCCCAUGAAAGGUAUGCUAAGAGUGCCAUGUUGUUUUCAUUAGUUCUACAAAUUAAAGGUGUAAACAGCCUAUAUGCUAGAUAAAGAUAUAAGGAAAUUCUCUGAUUUGCCCAUGACUCAUGUAUGAUCAAUGAUUUACUAGCAAACGACUUGAUUCACAAUUUUCAUUUCAUGCAACAUUUCAUUGGUCAACUAGUUCGCUGGUUUGUAGAUUUGCAGAUAGGUAUUUUUCAUUUUUUGAAGUUUGGUAAUUUUCUAUUAAACCUAGUAAUAUACUUGUUGCUAAAUCAUUCUUUCUUGCAAAUUAACAUUUAUUUUUGGUUAAAUUCGGUGCUAGGUGCUUCAAUAAUAGCUCAUGCAAAGUUUAAAUGGGAAUUAACUUGUAGGUGUUGCUUUAGAACUAUUUCACUUUAUUCUAAUCUUAUCUAUGCUGGUAUUGCUAUUCUUAAGAGUAUUCUGUUACCUCAAAUUUUAGUCUUGGGGAUGUAGAAGUUGAUUGAAACAUUAAGUACAUCAGUGAGAAUUUUUAUUUGUGUUUACUCUUACCACCAUACCUAUGAUAAUAUUAUCUAGUAGUAUUCAAUCAUUUUUGCAAAACACACACUUAAUGCCUCCGAGUUUUAAUGAUGCUGUAAAAUUUACACAGUCAAAGACAUUAAGAAACUGAAGCUCAAAUCUUUAAGGAAACACAUCAGAUUGAUCCAACAAGAGUCGGCUCUUUUGACCACAUUAAUCCAUGAAAACAUUCUUUUGGUUAACAGGAGAUUAUAUAAGUCGCGCUCGCUAAUGCACUUACUUUCAUUAGUGCCCUUUCGGAGGACUAUUCGACUAAGGUUGGUGAACAAUGUAAUCAACUUUUUGAUGAGCAAAAGCAAGGAGUUGCUAUUUCACGCGCUAUGACAUGAGUGAAAAUGAAGUGAAACGUACUUGAAAUUAGUAUAAACGACACCCAUAUGUUUAAAAUUACUAUAUGUCGUUUUAGGUCACAAGUCUUGAUUUCACUCCAAAACUAGUAAAUGAAUGUUUGAAACAUGAUAGAAGACUUGUACUCUUGAACAAAUUAAUGUAUUGCAUUUUAAUCCCUACCUAUUAUCUACAUUUUUUGUUCGUUGUCAAGUGUGGUAUAGUUUCCAAACGAAUGUAUAGUGUUACUCACUAACGAUUGAACUUUGUGUGGAUCAUGAGAUCAAAAUGUAUUCAAAAUUCUCAUCUUUACACUUUCAAGUGUUAACGAGUGAAAAUGAAGUGAAAUGAACACAAAAUUAGUAGAAACGACACCCAUAAAUUUAAAACGACUACAUAUCGUUUUGGCUUAGAGGAUCCCCGAAAUAUCGUAGUUCGACCAGAUCAAUACCUAGAGGGGGGUGAAUAGGUGUUUAUGCGGAAUUAUCUUUUUCAAUCAAUUAAUAAUUACAACACAUCAUAAAUAUUAAUUUGUCCAGAUUAGUUCACAUGCUUUACUAUCCUAUGUUUGAAUACCGGUCAUAAAUUAAUUGAAAAAAGAUAAAUAGCAAAAUUGUUUGAUGACGGAGAAACCCCAAUGUGGGUAAAACUCCGGGCCCAAGCCAGUAGGAAUCGACUAUAAACAAAAAUGAAACUUACAAUCAACCAGACUCAACCUACACUGGUUUUUCUGACAUCCUGCACAUAGGUUCCUCAAAGCCUUCCUGGAAUGCGUGAUCCUACACCAACUCCCGGCACCUAGCCCUCCUGGAUUGUGUGCUACACCAAUUCCUGGCUCUUGAUUUUGUCUAUCUCCUGUGGAUUCAAGAGAACUACCUGUUCUCUAAUGAUCGGGACUCCGAUCUCCUUCCUCGAUCUCCAAGAAUCAACAAAAGCUCUAGAAGGUUGUGUUUUGGUGUUUGGUGAAUGUUGAUUUGAUAUUUUUUUAUUUAAUUGCUCAAAUCAAAUAUGGGAUUGAAUGAGAGAAUCAAAGUGUAGGAAAGUUUUCUUUAAUUUCAAUCCCUUGAGAGCACAAUUGAAAAUCGGCGCAAUUUUUCUUAUAUGCUGUGUAUUUUGAUAUUUUGGUUAGGUUGAAAUGUCGAAAAAAGGAAAAUAGGAUUUCAUGGGUAACACUGUCACUUGAGCGAAAAGCGAUCGAUGCUGUUUCGCUCGAGUGAAGUGGGGACAAGAAGCGAGCCACGACCUUUCUAUUUUUGUUGCUCGAGCGACCAUUUGGCGCGUAGCUAGCGAAACUUCAACGACACAUCUUACCUUACUUCAUAGCUCGAACCCUAGCACACUUUAUCAAAAUUACAACUGAGUCCCUCAUCUUUUACACAUGUACACAACGACCCCUAACCUUUAACUAUUGACAAAUUGACCCCAAACUUUUGAACAUUUACAAUUUUACCCUUUUGUUUAUAGAAUAGCCAACACGAAAUCUAACAAACUCUCCCUUUGGCAUUCUGUGACAAAACCAAAUUACAGCAGUAUGAACUACAAUGACAAUCCAAUACACUGACUCAACUCACUGUUGCCUUGUCAACUUUCAACCUGUUUCCUGAAAUCACAACUCAUAUACCCAGUGUAAAAGCACGAGAAACAGUAAUAUAAGUAAACAUAAAAGAUAAAGAGUCAUUAAUAGUCAUAACAUUGUACCAAUAUGCUAGAUUAAGACAUAAUAUCAAUGUAAGUCAAACCACCAAAAACAUACAUCAAUAAUGCAAAACAUCAACACAUAAUCUAGCCAAAAAUAUCAAUAGUACAUUAUCAAAGUACUUUAUCAUUACAAAUCCCAAAAAUAAUUAGCACCCACUCCCCUUUUUUGUCACAAAUGGCAAGGAGAACCCCAAGCAACUAAGCAGGAUCAUCAUCUCCGCCAUCCACGUCCUCAAAGUUCUCAGCCUCAGACUCAUAAUCCCAGUGCUCGCGUAUCCACCGAAUACCGCGCUGAACAAAAGCAAUAGCCCCACACAAUGUACCAAACUCCGCAGUAUGACGCUCGAAAGCAGCUCGUAACUAAGUAAUGUCGGCCAUCAUGCGGGCCUACUGCUCAAUGAGAAUCGAUAUCUGACCCAUAAGUACGAUAGUGGGGUCAACAGGAAUAGUAGCCGGAACAGGCUGGUCGAAUGGCGGAAUAGAAGUGGAAGAAGAGGGAAUAUCUGAAGUGGACGAAGGAACAUCAGAAUGAGGCGAAGGAAUAGCUGAGAGAUCAGCAAGUAAAUCACCCAAAGGAUCAGCGGGUACUGUCGGGUCGACAAGCUUAGUUGGCUCAGCAGGAGCAGAUGCAGAAGCAGAAGAAGUGACACGUGACCUACUUUGAGAGAUGGUAGUAUGACCUAGGGACGAAGCACUUGUCGUGAGACCCCAUCGGGAAAUGAAGCCCCAAGUGAUGUCACCAAGCGGUGGAUCAAGCAAGCAUAUGGAAGACCAAUCCGAUGAUCGGAAGUACGAAAAGUACGCAGAAUGUGCUGGCAAAUGAAGGUAAGUAGGUCAAUCGAGUCCCCAUACAGCAAAACAAAAAGAAACCUCGCCUUUUCCAUAGGUAGGGAAGAAGUGUGAGAGACGGGCUACAGAUUCGUACACACAAUGUGCAAUAAAAUCUGCCCAUCAGUGGGGAACGAACUAGUGUGGAUCGCCUCAGGCCCACCUCCCAAAGGGCUAUUAAACAGAGUGGACCAAACCAGAGAGUCGACCGAAAUAGAAUCAGCCCAGAGAUAUGGGUAAACUAGGUGAAUGACCCGGGGAACAUAUAUGAAUUGGAAAUAACAUUUGGUGAAAUCCUAAAAGUUUGACCCCGAAGGAACACCCAGAAGGACGAACCACUAACGUCAUGGAUGUUCACAUAGAACUCCUGAACAAGAAGACUAGGCGGGGGAUUUAACCCAAUCAGCAAGGAUUCCCAACCUCGAGAAGUAAAGAUAGCUACUACAUCAGGUGAUAGGUCGGAUAGAGUGACCUCACGCUCUACUAGGACAGGACGACGGGAAAACUGUCUCCCAAAUACCUCUUGAGCAGUAGAGGAAAUGAACCUAGAACGACUAAACGAAGCCAAUCCACUACCAGGCUGAGCUAUAGUCCUAGCCCUCUUAGGUGCCAUCUGCAAUGCGAGAUGUAGAAGAUAAAUCAAUCCUAAAGGAAAAAUGAAUUUAUGGAGACACAUGACUGCACAAGUCCUAAAGUUCAAUCACACAAGCCCGAGGAUAAUGACCAAGACGUAAGUGACGUUAAUUAGACAUGAAUAAGAUCAAGAUGAGAUUUUAACACACAAAAAUAAUUUCCAAUAACUAUAGAUAAUUGAUGAUUCCCAUUUCGUAUACACCCUCUAAACUUAGUACAUGCAAAAUCUGUCAGGUUUAAGCACUGACUUGUUAGGUGAUUGUUGUGAAGCUUGAUGACUUAAUCGAAGAAGUGUGUUCGUCACGAUAUUGGAAAGAAGAUCAAAUAAAUAAUUAAUUCACAUAUUUUGUACCUAAGACACCAAUCACACGCGAGGAAUGGCACACAAUGGGCAAGGCAAGUAGGGUUGUGGAGAUGAGACAUUUCAUCAAAAACCUUGCAGGCAUUUGAAACACAAGGAAGAUAACCUACAAAUGUAAUAACGCAAUGGACACCCAACAUACCUUAACAAUACCAACUACCCAACAUUCACGAACCACCCAAUCUCAAAGUUUCGAAGUGGCGAAAAAAAAAAACAAACAAACGAGUGGGUUUAGCAAGGCACUUACCAAUUUGAAACAAGGAACCAACAAGGAAUGCACACAAGGAUGAGGAAUUGAAGCCCCACACGCACGAAAUGGAGUGCAAAUCGAUCGAAGAUGGUCGUGGUGAGAGAAAAUGCGAGAGAGAGAUGGGAAGAAAUGAAAAAAAAAUGAGCCGGAACCCUUCACGAGAAAAUUAAAAGUCUCGCUGUCGCUCGAACGAACAUCGAACGACAAUGCACUGCUUUUGUCGCUCGAGCGAGCGUCCAGUGUCAAGCGAGUGACGGGAAAAUUACAAAAAUAGCACUUAACUUGAAAUUUUGAAAAGUUAGGCCCAGGUUUAAAACUUUGCAAAGUAACAGCACUUUAGAAAUUUCCAAAAAUAGCAAAAUUUUCAUAAAUUUGAAUUUUGACCCCAAGAUUUUUUUUAAUUUAAAAUACACGAACAAUGCAGAGCCAGUUGGUCCAAUCAAAGGUAGUAGAUCACAAAUACGGCAUACACAGUGAUUAGAAAAUGUUUCCCCACACAUCGGGACCAAGUACAGAUGGAGUAAAUUGUAUAUGUAACCCCUCGUGAAACGUGCCACUCAUUCCAAGCAAGUAAGACUCAAAACCUUAAAUUUGUGAGAAGGGACAGCCAAAUCACCUAUGUAGGAGUCAACACUUAGACGUUUGAAGGUCAAAUCCAAUGCCACUAGGACCUAUACUUCGUUAAAAUAUAGUGUAAAACUGUUCUUUCUCCCCCUGUCAUUAAGGACCUCCAUUUUUUUUUAUUUUUUUUAUUUUUUUGUUAAUCUUACGUACAAUCCCAUCUCCAUUAAGCUACGAGGAAGACCCCUAUAACGAGCAUUGGGUUGGUGACUCCCAAACUAGUUGGUUUUAGGGCACCAGGUUAUGAGAAACCCCUCAAACUUAAUUGCUCGAGUCAUCUAGGCUUCGAAGAUAGGUAUAAGAUGUGAUAUAAUAAAUACGUUGUGGAAACACUCGGGGAUACAUCAGAAGUUAGGUCAUCUAGUCCAAGAUCAAUUCAAAUCCAAUGUCUACACAACGACAAAUGAUAGCCACCUCAAGUCUCACACAUACGGUCAAGACUCACUCACAUGGUCCUAGUGUGUGUUAUGCAAAUAUAAUAUGAAGUAACAUAUACUAAGUACUCCAUACAGACUUAAGAUAAGUGAUGGGAAUUAGAAACUAAUCUUGUAUAGACUGUACAUUUGAUUUCAAAUUGCAACUCCGAGUGCCAACUACAAUGCAAAAAUGACACGUAAUGAUCAAUCCCCCUUUUUUAAUAUAUAUAUAUAUAUAUAAACAAAGUGACAGAGAGAUGCAAAUGAACACAAAGAAGCAAUAUAAUGAAUGGAGAAAAGAAUGCAUACAUCUAUGAAGAUGAUCAGGGAGGAACACAGCUACCAACAGCCUUCCUAAGUGACUCGAAUCUAAAUCCAUCUAGAGGUUUAGUGAAUAUAUUGACAAGUUGAUUUUCUGUAGAGAUGUAUUCAAGAGAUAUCACAUUAGAUUUAACUAGCUCUCGAAUAAAGUGAUGUCGAAUGUCAAUGUGUUUGGUCCUAGAAUGCUGAAUAGGAUUUUUUGAUAUGUUGAUAGCACUAGUAUUGUAACAGAAAACAGUCAUAGUACCCUGAUUUAUCUCAUAGUCACUCAGCAUUUGCUUCAUCCAAAGCAGUUGAGUGUAACAACUAACAACUGCAAUGUAUUCUGCCUCGGCUGUGGACAAGGAGACUGAGUUUUUUUCUUACUCAUCUAUGAGACAAGAUUAGAACCAACAUAGAAACAUCCGCCCGAGGUACGUUUUCUAUCGUCGACAUUUCUGGCCCAAUCGACAUCAGAAUAGUCGGCUAGUUCUAGAUUGGACUCUCUGGAAUACAAGAUCCCAUAAACUACUGUCCCAUUGACAUAUCUAAUAAUGCGCCUUACUGCACCUAGAUGGGACUCCUUAGGAUAAGCUUGAAAUCUAGCACAUACUCCAACACUGAACGCUAUGUUAGGUCUACUGGCUGUAAGAUAUAGUAGAUUGCCUAUCAUAUUCCUAUACACAGUCCGAUCAACACUUACCUGUAGUAUCAUGUCCUAACUUAACAUUUGUGCUCAUGGGUGUCCUUGUGUGUUUCUUACUGUCCAAGCCAAAUCUCUUCACAAGGUCUUUGACAUAUUUUGAUUGAGAGAUAAACAGCCCACAAUCAGUUUGCUUUACUUGAAGACCAAGGAAGUAACUUAGCUCUCCAACCAUGCUCAUUUCAAAUUCUUAUUUCAUGCAUUCAGCAAAUUCAAGAGCAAAGGAGUCAAUGGGAGAGCCAAAGAUGAUGUCAUCGACGUAGAUCUGAGCUACAGUGAUAAUUUCUUUAAUAUGUCUAAUGAAUAAGGUUCUGUCAGCACCACCUCGUGAGAAUCCAUGCUCAACGAGGUAAGAGGUGAGUCUGUCAUACCAAGCUCUAGGAGCUUGUUUCAAACCAUACAGUGCUUUAUUGAGUUUGUAGACAUAAUGAGGAAAACUUAGGGUCAAUGAAUCCUUUCGGCUGUUCAACAUACGCCUCUUCUUGAAGUAUUCCAUUCAAGAAUGCACUCUUGACAUCCAUUUGAUAUAGCUUGAACCCUAAGGUACAUGCAACCGCAAGAAGAAUAUGAAUGGAUUCAAGACGAGCAACUGGGGCAAAAGUCUCAUCAAAAUCUACCCCUUCUACCUGAGUGUACCCUUGGAAAACUAGUCUAGCCUUAUUUCUAGUUAUAGUACCUUGGUCAUCGGUUUUGUUCUUGAAGACCAACUUAGGUUCAAACGAAUUGAUUAAGCUCUUCAUGCAUGACAUUCACCUAGCAUUCAUCUCUAAGGGCUUCCUCUACUUUCGUAGGUUCAAUCUGGGAUACAUAGCUAGUAAAUGUUAGGUUAUUUAGAACUCUUUUUCGCAACCUCAUACCUUCAUCUAAAUCCCCAAUGAUGUUAACCUUAGGAUGAUUAGAUUUGACCCUGGAAGAUGGUUCCCUAGGAAGCUUAGACUGAUUCCAAUUUGGUAGACCCUGUUCAAAUAUGUUUUCUGAGGAGCGUGGAGAUUUUGGGAUUGAUUGCUCUUUAUUUUUUGCAGUGGCUCCUUGAUCUUCAUUUAGAUCUUCUAUGUCAACCCUAUUUUCAGCACUCUCUCCCUCAGUAAAAGCAUCAUCAAUAACAACAUUUACAGAUUUCAAGACACUCUGAGUACGCAAGUUGUAAACUCGGUAGGCUCUACUAUUCUUAGAAUAUCCUAGAAAAAUCUCAUCAUCACUUUUGGAAUCAAACUUGCCUAGAUUUUCUCUAUCCCUCAGAAUGCAACACUUGCUGCCAAACACCCGAAAGUAUUUAACAGUAGGCUUCUUGCCUUUCCAGAUCUCAUAGGGAGUCUUGUCUGAUUUCGGUCUUAAGUAUACCCUAUUUACUAUGUGGCAUGCGGUGUUAAUAGCUUCACCCCAGAAAUGCAUUGCUAGACCCCUGUCGUGAAGCAUGGCCCUAGCCAUUUCUUGAAACACUCUAUUCUGCCUCUCAACAACUCCAUUUUGCUGUGGAGUGAUUGGUGAAGAAAACUUAUGCUUAAUUCUCUCCUCCAAACAUAAAUUUUCUAGAUUGAAGUUUUCAAAUUCUUUCCCAUGAUCACUUCGAACCCUAGAAAUAGGAAGGUUUUGUCCAACUUUGAGUCUUUUACACAAGGACUUAACCAGAUCACUUGUCUCAAAUUUUUCCAUUAACAGUUCAAUCCAGGUGUAUCUAGAAAAGUCAUCUACCACAACCAGAAUAUACCGUUUGCCUACUAGGCUCUCUACCCUAGAUGAUCCCAUUAAAUCCAUAUGGAGAAGCUCUAGGGGUCUAUUCGUUAAGAUUUUCAAGGUUCGCUUAUGGUUUAUCUUGAGUUGCUUCCUUGUUGACACGGCUUGCACACAGCAUUCUCACUUUGAUCAAUCUUAGGCAAACCAUCGACAAUCUUCUUUUUAACUAAUUUAGACAGACUUCUGUAGUUAACAUGACUGAGCCUUUGAUGCCAAAGUUUAGACAUAUCAAUUUUAGCACUACUGCAUACAUAGUUCGAGUUUGGAAGAACUCCAUAACAAUUAUCAGAUGGCCUAACACCUUCAAGAACAACAUCACCAGAAGCAUCAUAAACAGUGCAUCUCUUUUAGACAAAACUCACUUCAUAAUCAACAUCACAGAUUUGACUAAUGCUCAAUAAGUUGGACUUAAGACCCUCUACAUAAAGUACAUUGGAUAUUGUAGGAAGUCCAGCAAUGGUGAUGGAGCCUUUACCUCAGAUGGUUGUUGUAGCUCCAUCCCCAAAGGUAACUACACCACCAUUGCAAUCAUCAAAGGUAGAUAAUAAGGCCUUGUUACCACACGUGUCUAGAACAAGUACUAUCAAGAUACCACAUGCAUGUAUUUUGAGCCUUAUAUGCAACAUGAGCAACAAAACAUUUUAGAUUCUCAGUAUACUCACCUACAUCAUAUUUCUUUACCCAAACUUUUCUCAACGUCGAGGUGAUCCUAGUCAACCUCGUUACCAUCUCAGUUAAGUAGCUAACCUGAUUUGAAAGGAAGUUCACUUGACUAGGGAUAUCCUGACUUCGAUUCCUAUUUGCUAGCUUUCGGCACCUAGGUCUCGUGUGGCCUAAGGCACCACAGUGAUGACAAGUGGGUAUAAACCUAGGUUCAGAUGCACGUGAGUGUUGAUCAUGAAAAUUAGGUGUAGAAAUCUUAUGAGCUCUAGUGGCCUUCAGUCCGGUGAAAUUUUUUUCUUUGAAUUCUGGAUUUGUUGAAACAUUAGAUCUGUUGGAAGUGGGGACAAAUGUGGUCUUGGAUAAACUAGACACAUUGCUAUCACUCUUCACAAAUCCUAGACCUUGCCUAUUUCCAGCUGAUUUGUUCAUUCCUAACAGAUCGACUAGUUUCUUAGUUCCACUUACAAAUGACUAUAGUUGAGUGCUGGAUUUCUCUAAUUCACAAGUCAACGUCUUGACCCUGUCCUCUAAUUUCUCAUUGACACACUUCAACUCACUGAGAUUUUUAGAUGAGACUUGAAUAUCAUAGGUGAUUUUCUCCUUCUCUCUCUCAAGCUUGUCUACCUUCUUAAAUAGGGAUUUAUUUACCUUUUUGAUCUUGAGACUUUCCUUAAACAGAAGUUGAUAAGCCUCAUGUAUAUCCGUCUCAUCCUCUGAAUCAUCACCGGACUUGUUACUCUCCACUCCCUCCUCAACAUUCUCACUUUCCUUGUCUGGCUUGCUCUUGACAAUAGAUACAAAAGCCAUAUAGCCCUUUUUCCUCCUCACUGCUUGAGGAAUCACUUUGUUCACUUAAAUUAGAAUCAUCAUCAGUCAAGGACACAACUAAUGCCUUGCUACUUCCCUUCUUUAGAUUUUUCUUAAAACUAGGACAUUCAUUUCUAUAGUGCCCAAAUCCCUGAGACUCAUAACACCUAACCACUUGAUAUUUCUUACCAGGGUUCCUAGCAGUUGAUUUAUCAUCCUUCUCUUUUUGCAAUUUACUAGGGGCUCCUCUCUUUUUCUCUUGAGGCCAUUUUUUGCCCUUUAAGACUUUCUGGAAUCUUUUCACAAAGUGGGCAAUCUCCUCAUCUCUAAGAGUUUCCACGUCAGAUGAUUCAGACUCCCCUUCCCUAACAGUGUUCAGGGCUAUGGACUUGUUUUUCCUCGAUUGUGAAAUGGUGAGUUCAUAGGUUUAAAUGGAUCCUACGAGUUCUUCUAUCUUAAUUGUAUCCAGAUCCUUACUUUCUUCAAUAGCUGUAAUUUUAGGUCUAAAUCUCUCGGGCAAAGAUUUAAGAACCUUCCUCACAAUUUUGGGCUCGGGAAUCCUCUCACCUAGGUUGAAACUAGUGUUAACAAUGCCAUUCAAUUUGGCAUAGAACUUAUCAAAAGAUUCAUCAUCCUUCAUCCUAAUUUCUUCAAACCUUGAGGCCAACAUUUGCAACUUAGAAUUUUUCACAGUUUUAGUUCCUUCAUGCGUUGUCUCAAGAAUGUCUCAUACCUCUUUAGCAGUGUCGUACAUUGACACUCUUCUAAACUCUUUAGGAGACACAGACAUAAAUAAUGCAUGGAGACCUUUACUAUUCCAGUUGCAUUCAGCCAAUUCAUCCUUAGUCCAAAGGGAAAUGUCAGUUGGGGUUACAACACGUGACAUGGUUGUAGAAUGAGGUUUCCAACCAUUUUGUACACUCACUCAGACACGUUCAUCUAGGGACUUAAGAAAUGCACGCAUUCUAACCUUCCAAUAGGCAUAGUUGCUUCCGUCAAAAUAUGGAGGCACAGACAGUGAUUGACUCAUCUAGAUAAUUAUAGGUCAGGACUCGAUAUUUGGCUCUGAUACCACUUGAGAUAUCGUAGUUUGAGCCAAUCAACACCUAGAGAGAGGGUAAAUAGGUGUUUAUACAAAAUUAUCUUUUUCAAUCAAUUAAUAAUUGCAAUACGUCACAAAUAUUAAUUUGUUUAGAUCAGUUCACAUGCUUUACUAUCCUAUAUUUGAAUACCGGUCAUAAAUUAAUUACAGAAAGAUAAAUAACACAAUUUUUUGAUGAUGGAGAAACCCCAAUGUAGGUAAAACUUCGUGCCCAAGCCAGUAGGAAUCCACUAUAAACGAAAAUGAAACUUACAAUCAGCCAGACUCAACCUACACUGGUUUUUCUGAUAUCCUGACCAUAGUUUCGUCAAAGCCUUCCUGGAAUGCAUGAUCCUGUACCAACUCCUGGCACCUAGCCCUCCUGGAUUGCGUACUACACCAAUUCUCGGCUCUUGAUUUUGUCUAUCUCCUGUGGAUUCAAGAGAACCGUCUGUUCUCUAAUGAUCGGGACUUCGAUCUCCUUUCUCGAUCUCCAAGAAUCAACAAAGCUCUAGAAGGUUGUGUUUUGGUGUUUGGUGAACGUUGAUUUGAUAUUUUUUUAUGUAAUUGCUCAAAUCAAAUAUGGGGUUGAAUGAGAGAAUCAAAGUGUAGGAGAGUUUUCUUCAAUUUCAAUCCCUUGAGAGCACAACUGAAAAUCGGUUCAAUUUUUCUUAUAUGCCGUAUAUUUUGAUAUUUUGGUUGGAUUGAAAUGUCGAAAAAAGGAAAAUAUGGUUUUAUGGGUAACAAUGUCGCUCGAGCGAAAAGCGAGCAACGACCUUUCUGUUUUUGUUGCUCGAGCAACCACUUGGCAAGCAGCUAGCGAAACUUCAAUGACACAUCUUACCCUACUUCAUAGCUCGAACCCUAGUACACUUUGUCAAAAUUUCAACUGAGUCCCUCAUCUUUUACACAUGUACACAAUGAGCCCUAACCUUUAACUAUUGACAAAUUGACCCCAAACUUUUGAAAUUUUACAAUUUUACAUUUUUGUUCAUAGAAUAGCCAACACGAAAUCUAACAAUCUCGAUUUCACGUUUAAAACUAUUGAGUGAACUAUAUAUUCACCACGGGGUCCAAAUUUUAUUGAAAACUUGAAUUCAUUCAUUUUCAUGUGGAUACCAAUGCAAUAAAGUAAAAUGGACAUGAAAUUAACUACAAUGAUAUCAAACCAUUUAAAACAAUAGCAUGCCUUUUUUUAUUCCAAGGAUUUGAAUUCACUCCAAAACCUGUCAAUCAUAUUUUGGACAUCUUAUCAGAUUUGAACAAGUUAAACAAGCUAUUUGUUGAUUAUCUAAUUUUGGAAUAUAAUUGAAUUUGAGUUACUUAACUUCAUUCGUAAUUAAGUCUAGUGUAGUUUACUCACAAAACAAUAGUGUUGGUCACUACCACGUAAACUUUAUAUCGACUGUGGUGCCCAAAUUUAGUGAAGACUUGCAUUCGUUUAUUUUUAUGUGAAUAUUAGUGCACAUAAAGUUAAACGGGCACGAAUCAAUUGAAAUGAUACCUAGCCAUGUAAAAUGACAACUCUUUGUUUUGAGUUACGAGAUCACGAUUUUAUUACAAAAUUAGCCGAUCAUAUUUUGGAACAUAUUAGAAGACUUGAAUAAGUUGAGAUAAUUUGUUGAGUAUAUUAUCUUCUAAUUGAAAUAUAAUGGAAUUUUAGUCACUUAUCUUCGCUUGUAAUGAAGGCUAGUGUAGUUUACUCACAGAAAAUAGUGUUGGUCCCCAUAAUGUGAACUUCAUACUGAUUGUGGUGUCCAAAUGUAUUAAAAAUUUCCAUUCAUUCAUUUUCAUGUAGACACAAGUGCACAUAAAGUGAAAUGGACAAAAAUUUAAUUGAAGUGACACCUACCCAUUUCUAAAACAGCAGCAUUCCAUUUUAUGUCCAAGGGUCUUGGUGUGACUUCAAAACUAGUCGAUCAUACUUUGAAAUAUCUUAGAAGCCUAGUAAAGUUAAGUGAUUUAAUUAUUUGAGUAUCUUGUCUCAUAAUUGGAAUAUAAUGGAAUUUGAGUUACUUACUUUGUUUCCAAUGAAGUCUAGUGUAGUUUACUCACAGAGCAAUAAUGUUGAUCACCAUCAAAAGAAAUCUAUAUAUUGCCAGUGUCCAAAUAUAGUAAAAUUUUUUAACUCGCUCAUUUUUAUACAGAUACGAGUGAAUAUAAAGUGAAAGAAAUACAAAAUAGUUGAAACGACAUAUAACCAUUUUGGAUCAUGGUGUUUUGCUUUCACUCAAGAACUAGUUGAUCUUAAUUUUGAACAUCUUUGAAGACUUACACAAGUUAACUAAGCCAAUUUUUUGAGUAUCAAGUCUAGUGUAGUUUACUCAUGGAAUAAUAUUGUUAAUCACUAUUGGAUGAACUUUUUCUUAUCGAUCUUGGUACCUAAAUAUAAUGCAAACUUGCAUUCUUUAAUUUUUAUAUGGAUGUGAGUGAAGAAAAAAGUGAAAUGAACACAAAAAUAGUUGAAACAGUACCUAGUAGAUUAAAAUGAUAGCAUGCCACUUUGAAUUACAGAGUCUCGAUUUUAAUUCGAAAUUAGUCGAUCAUAUUUUUGAACAUCUUAGGAGAUUGAUGCAAGUUAAACGAGUCAAUUUGUUGAGUGUUUUACCAAUUCAUCUCUCAAUUGAAAUGUAAUGGAAUUUGGGUUACUUACUUUCGUUUAUAAUAAAGUCUAGUGUAGUUUACUCACGGAACAAUAUUAUUGAUCAAUAACGGGUGAACCUUUUGCAUUGACCUUGAUAUUCAAAUAUAGUGAAAACUUUCAUUCGAUCUUUUUCAUAUGGAUACAAGUGAACAUAAAUUGAAACAAUCACAAAAAUAGUUGAAACGACACUCAGCAGUUUAAAAUGAUAACAUGUCAAUUUGGGUUACAAAGUCUCAAUUUCACUUCAAAAAUUAAUCAAUUAUAUUUUGAAACAUAUUAAAAGAUUCACACAAGUUAAACGAUAUUAUUUGUUGAAUAUAUUAUCUCAUAAUUGGAAUAUUAUCGAAUUUGGGUUACUUACAUUCGUUCGCAGUUAAGUCUUACAUUCUACUCACUAAACAAUAGCGUUGAUCAUUAUUGCGUGAAUUUUGUAUCGACACUGGUGUCUAAAUGUAAUAAAAAUUUGUAUUUGUUUAUUUUUAUGUAGAUACGAAUUAAAAUAAUGUGAAACAAAUACAAAAUUAGUUGAACUGACACCUGAUCAUUUAAAAUGACAACAUGCCUUUUGGGUUAAUAGGUAUCGAUUUUAGUCUAAAUAUAGUGAAAACUUAUUUACAUUAAUUUCAUUUGGGUACGAGAGAAUAUAAACCCUUGUUUGAGACCCAUUCUUUGAAAAAAAAAAUCUUGACCUUGGAUGAAUGGAUCUUUACCAUGUACAUAUAAUUUACUAAGAGACCUUUGUCGUGUUCUAGAAUUGAUUAUGAGUCUUUGGGACCCGCUUCCGUUCAUCGAGAGAGCUUAAGGCCCUUGUCAAAAGUUCUUAGCCCGAGGAGUAGUCUACGUGCGUAUGACCAGAUUACACAUGUUAGUCAAAUGGUACAUUUUUGUUGGAUUUUUCAAUACAUUUGAUGUGAUGAGUUAUAGUAUGGAUAUCAAUUAAUGUUUAUAUUAUGACUAUGAGAUGAUGUUUGCUAUGAGAAUAUCUCAUUUCUGGGCUAUAAUUGCAUGACGUUAUCCUAUAAAUUAUUAAAUGAUAUGAACUCAAUUUUCGAUAAAUAUAUAUAAAUGAGAAAGUAUAACUAUUUUCAAAAUUUUCACUCACUAAGCUAUUAACUCAUAUAUUUUUCUACGUUUUGCCUUACAGGUAGCAAUUGGUUCUAGAUAGCCUGAAGAGCUUGUGAUUUCAGAGUUUUACCUAUACAACAUGUUGAGUUAUAUGAUUUAUUUUGGUAGAGCAUGAAGUAAUUAUUUUGGACCCAUUAUAUUUCAUAAGAAUUUGAUUUUAGCAUAUAAUUACUAAUAAUUCAUAGUCAACCUUGGUGAUGAAUCUGACAUCUAGUCAACAUCCACCAUCGGUACACGUCACCUUAUGGGUCCAUUAGGAUGAUUCGAGGCGGGUCGUGUCAAAAUGGAAUCAGAGCAUGAUUUUUACAAUUUUUAUAGUUCAUGCAUUAGCAUAUCAUGCAUAUUCGAUGUGUAUGCCCACAUAUCUUGGUGGCAAAAAUAAUAGUCUCUGAAGCUCGAAUGUAUGGAACACAAAAUGACAGAAGAAUAUUUUUCGCAGAUUUAGAAAUGAUUAAUAUGUAAGUAUGUAAUUACAAUGAUCUGUUGGUUUUGCAAGUUGUUUACAUGUAAGCAUUCGAAGCGAUAGAGGCAAAACCACAUAAGUGCUAAUUUAUAAGUAAGGUAAUAUGAUCUUUGGAUCUAGUUAUAGCUUGCACUAUAAAACCUGUUAGAGGAGCACGUGACACCCUCCAUUGGUAAGGGGUCUGUGCCCACCCCCGGAUGGACAUGGCCUACGUGGCUCUGAUCGUUUAGAAAAAUCCUUGCACUAUAAUUAAGUAAAUGAUAAUAUUUUUUUUAAUUGGCAACAAUUAGGUGAGAAAUCUUAAUUAUCUUGGAAAGCUAAAUGGACAUUAGCAUUAUAGAAAUUUUGUGGUGAUUUGUGGCAACUUAUAACGGAGAAUGAUAGAAAUCAUGAUGGUAUAUACUUAUGUUAUAUGAUAGAACCUUGCAGAGGACAAAAUGAUGAUGUUAUAUCGAAUAGUGAUUGAGAGUACAAUAUCUUAUUAUAUAUUAGGCAUUGAGGAAAUUAACAUUCAUGUGACUCUGAUCAUUUUGAUUAGUUAUAGGUUAUUUGAUUAAACAGGAGUUGAGAAAAAUAGGAAUAAACUUUAUAAUGAUUACUUAUUAUGGAUUAAUUUGUUGUUUAAUCAAUAGAAUCAAAUCGAUAUGUGCGUUUAGGUAUGUUUAUGUGAAUUGAGUAAGAAGAUAAAAAUGAAAUCAGGAAAGGUUCCUGUGAUAAAUACAAAAGUUACAAUUUUGUGAAUUUAUGGAAAAUUGAUACAAUUAAAUGUUUGAGUUUAUAUGGUAUGAUGGAUAAUGACAAGUUUGUAUGAUCACAACAUGAUAUGGUAAAUAGCAAGUAAAUUAAUGUUAAGGUUGUUCUAUAGAAAAAUAAUGUGAUGAUGUAUUUGGAUUACUUAGUUAAUUAAUCUUGUCAUGGCCAUUUAUUUGAUUAUUUUAUUAUAUUACAUACAAUUGGGAAGUUUUAAGCAAAGUUAUGAAGUUAAGAUUAAUUUAAUAAAAUUUCGGUGAUAUAACUUUUGGGUUAUUUUUUAUUGUAUUUUUGAAUCUCAUGAAUAAAGUAUUCCAUUCUUAUUGAGAUCAAUUUGUUGUAGAAUAUAUGGAUGAUACGUUGAUAGCUUGAAGUCUAAGACAAUCAUCAAAUGUAAAUUUUACUCUAUCGUGGAAUGGUAUAUUUAGGUUACAUUAUUAUAAUCAAAAAGUCUUUAUGUGAUAUAUAAUAAGACUUAUGCAUUAGUAAUAUAUCAAUGUACUCUUUAUGGAAUAAGAGUAUAGAAUUAUCAUGGAUUAAAUGUUAUUAUUCUCUUUUCAUAUAAAGAAAAAGCACAAAAAUUCUGUGGAUUUAGAAAUGUAAAAACUUUUGCUAUCAGAAUCUCAUAACUAAAUAACUUUUGAGGAAAUAUUUGCUCUUGUAUCUAAAGCUGAUGAGAGUUUGAUUUAUGAUAAUGAAUUAUGUUAAAGUUUAGGAUGUGUUCUGAGUAAAAUGCUAAAUUAUGAAUUAUAUUGUAGAUUGUUGAAGAGGCAUGAUUACCAAGGUUUAGAGUUGGUUAUAUUAGGGUUGAAUUUAGAAAUUGUGGUGUUAUCACAUUUCGAGAAACAUCGAUACUUAUCGAUCUCCAAAGUUUAUAGUAUAUUUAUAUUCAAAAUGGUUGAAAUUGAAGUUGUGUAAAUAUUAUAAUUGAGUGAUAUAGAAUUAAAAGAAAAUAACACCAUGUUGAGCUAUCUCAGUUGUUGUUGGGGAUAACUUGACUUUUAUAAAAAUCACAAUGGAAUUUUUGCAUAUAUUGUCAAUUUAAAAUGGAAGUAGUUAUCCUCAAAUAUUUUUCUUUUGGGGUUCCAAGUACACAAAAUGGUACUUUGAUCAUUAUUUACAGAUCGAUAAAAGUUACAAGAUUCUUUUCAAAUGAUGUAGUUAGUUCAUGGGGUAGAUUUAUAAAAUUAUGUAUAGAUAAGAUUGUUAUUUAUAUGGUGGAGUUUGAGUAUUUACCUUUGGCUUAGUUGUAGGGAGUUAUAUAACUAAAUUACAUUGUGUAGUUGCCUUUAAUUUUAUGUCAUAUACUAAGAAGACAAGUUCAAAAGAGAGGCUAUCAACUAUGGUUUAUUAAGUAAAGCAGACUUGUAUAAUCAUUUAUUUUUCACGGAAUUGACUUACAACUAGAUAAAAGUGACGAUAUUUGAAGUUAUAUAUGAUAUUAAAAUAUUCCAAUGACAUAUUUAUUGUGAUGAAAUUGGCAAACAAAAGUUAUUCGAUCUUAAUACGUAACCAUUGUUAUAGAGAAAGGAUUUGAUUAGAAAAUUGUUCGAAUCAUGCCAUUAGGUAAAGUUUUAGAGAACAUGAAAAGUAGUUUUUUGAAUUUCAAAUUGGGAAAAUAAUUGAUUUUUUUUAAGGUUUAGCAAAGCGAAAAACUAAAAAAGUAAAUUAUUGGUCAUUAAGAUGUCAUUUAAACCCUAGGUCCAAUUAUUGAUCGAUGUAUUUUACAACAGGCUUAUCUGAUAUUUGAUAAUGUAUCCUUUUUUUCUAAGGCUUAGUAAAUAGAUAUCAAAUUUAAAUUAUAUGGUAAGGUAUUAAAGAGAACUCAACCUUGUACAGCUCAAGUGAUCUCGAUUUUGGAAAAGACAAAGAAGAAGAAAAGAAUGAGUUAUUUGCAUUUAAAUUAGUGCGAUAAUUAAAGGUUCAUGGAGGAAUCAUGUAAUAGAAAGGGUGAUAAGGGAAAGUGAAGAGCAGAGGCAUUCUCAGUAUCUUCAGCUUUUGUUACUUAGUUUGUAGAAUUUCGAGGACGAAAUUCUUUGAAGGUGAUGAGUUUUGUAACCCAAUUAAACUAAAAUAGAAUAAAAACAAAAUAAUUGUCAAAAUCCAAAAGUAUGGUCAACGUUGUCAAGCUAAUUUUAAAAAAUAAAAUUAAUCACAUGAAAACCAACAAAAAGUCGACAAGUAAGGCGGUGGCACCAAAUUUUAAAAAAAAACCAAUUAUGUAUAAAUCCAUUUUCACAUUCAUAUCUCUAUAUAUACACAUGCCAACAGAGAAAAAAUGAGGGACAAAGAGAAAGAAGAAAGAAAAGACGAAAGAUGGGGAGGAAGAAGAAAAGGAAAGGAAAAAAUAGAAAAGCUAGAUGACGUGAUCAAGAACUAAGUGCUUUAUACUAUUAAGCUUAAAUUCCUCAAUUUUGAAAGGUAAGUUAUGUUAAAUUUGGGAUUGUUGAUUUAUUAGUUUAUAUUCAAUUUUAUCGAACAAGAGCUAUUGAAUUGAGUAUGAUAAGGUAUGCAAUUAAAUUAAAGGAAAGAAAAAUUAGCUUAGUUGAUUAAAAGAAGUUGAAAAUUUGCUCAAAUAUAACAAUAGUAGGCUUUAGUGGCACCUGUUUAAUUAUUGAAGUUACUUAAAAUGUUUAAUUGUUAAUUUAGACGGUACCUCAUAUUUCAAGCGACAACAAAGAGGUCAAGACAACUUACAAUCGAGUUGAUUUCACUUACAUAAUUCUGUGAGUAGAAAAAUUUAGAUAUUUCUAAGUAUUGAUAAAUUAAUUAUACUAUUAAAUUAUGUACAAUUAUGUGAAUUAUUUAUUCGAUUACAUGAUUAUUAUGAAGGUUUCUUUGACUAUGAUAUAUGCGCAAUUUCAAAUAUUGUAUAUGGAAUAUUUGUGAAUUGGAAUGUGAGACAUGUGUGACAUUGAGAUAAACUAAAAAAGUACCUAUGAUUAUAUAUUUCUUCUAGUUUAUGAGGGGCUUUGGCCGUGUUUUAUCUUACACGAAGGGGUCUUGAAUGUGGAUAAAUGAAUUUUCACUGUGUACAUGUAGUUCACUUUGGGGCUUUAGCCGUAUUUUAGAAUUGAUCAUGGGAGGUUUUUGAGACUCGUUUCCAUUCACUGAGGGGCCUAAGGCUCGCGUAAGGAGUGCUUUACCCAAGGAGUAGUCCACGCGGGUAUGACCAAAUUACAAGAUGUUAGUCAAAGGGUACAUUUUCUUUUGAAUUUUUCAGUACAUUUGAUGUGAUGAGAUUAUAGUAUGGAUAUCAACUAAUGUUUAUAUUGUAACUAUGAGAUGAUAUUUUAUAGUGUUUUGAGAAUGUCUCACUUCUUGACUAUAUUACAUGAUGUUAUCCUGUGAAUUAUUAAAUUAUAUGAACUCGAUUUUCGAUAAAUGUAUAUAAAUGAGAAAGUAUAACUAUUUUCAAAAUUUUCACUCACUGAGCUAUCAACUUAUAUAGUUUUUCAUGAUUUUUCUUACAAGUAGCAAUUGGUUCUAGAUAGCUUGAGGAACCUGGUGAUUUCAAAGUUAUAGCCACAUGACACAGAGUUAUAUGAUUUAUUUUGAUAGAGCACAAAAUAAUUAUUUUGGGCCCAUUGAAUUAUAUUUUUCAUAAGCAUUUGAUUUUGGCAUGUAAUUAGUAGCAACUCAUAGUCAGUAUUGGUGGUGGAUCUGAUAUCUAGUCAGUAUACACCAUUGGCACACGUCACAUUUUAGGUCCAUUAGGGUGAUUCAGGACUGGUCAUAUCAUAUGUCCCUAUGUUUGGUUAGUUUGACAACUUUGAAAUUUCACUUCCAACCUACAAGAAAAGUGAAGUGUAUUUCAAUGUGAAACAUGACAGAUUUUUAGUUGUUUUUGAAUUUUUUUUUUAUAAGAUAUUAAGAUAUAUAUAUCACUACAUUUGUCAAAUUAGUCUUUGUUUGAUUUCUUCAAAAGAUAAAGUAGAAAACAACUAACUAAUAUGAAUCUCGUUAAAGUCCUUCAUAUUUAUAAAGUCUAAGUCCUUGAGAAUGAUACGAUCAAACAUUCAUCUCGAUCAUCAAAUGGUAUUCUCCAUCCAUCAAAAAACUGCUUCCAUCUUUGACAACUACAAAUAUGAAUGUCCAAUGUUCGGAAUACACAAGGCAUUAAUGACAUGCAUAAUUAUAGUUAUAUUUUCAACGUCAUAUAACACAAAAUGAACUCCAAGUAGAUAAGCAUAACAUCUUUAGGCUUAUACAUAUGUUAACUCAAAUUGCUUAUAAAUCUUACAUUUUUCUUUGCGGAAUAAAAAGGGAUUUUAGAGUAUCAGUAUCUUUGUCAAGGUAUCCUAAUCCUCGUUUCAAAGCUAAAAUUUAUUUUUCAAAGCUUACUACUGCCCUUUGAGGGCUUUUGAGGCUAAAGCAUCGAGAAAUCCUUAUUAUGUUAAUAAAACUCCACUCCAUUAGCCAAUUUAUCUCCUUAGGUCGAUCAUUUCAAGUUUUAACACAACUUGCUCCACUUCAAAGGUUUUUGUGUAAUUUUUCUUCAAAAAGUGCACAUGAAUUUUGAGAGAAUGAGAUGUAAAAUUUGUAUUAUUGAGAGUGAAGUAUAAUUGAAAUAAUAGUAAAAUGUCAUGGAAAGGGAUUUUGAAUAAGAAUAAUACUAUUUGCAGUCACUCACUGUCGCAGUCGCGUCACGUUACAUGCAUGUGACGGUUAAUGAUUUAGUAAAUGAGGUAAGAACAAACUACCAUAUUAAUAAAUAUAAUUACAAACCGCCAUGUAGGGUGUCACGUAAGGCGAUUAUCACAGUGAACGACUAUAAAUAUCAUUACUAUUUAAAUAAAGCUUAUGGGGUAAUUUAGUCCAAGCAAUCACCUUACUAUAUAUAAGUAUAAACUUACCCUUCAACGAAUCUAUUUGAGGGUCUGUAUUUGUGGUUUCAGUUUCAUAUAGAAGAGUACAAUAAUCUGAGCCCAUUUUUGUGAUACUUUGAUUCCUUGGUAAAAUUGUAUAGAGUUAUAAAUUUCCUUUAAAUUGAUUUGUAAAUUGGUGUCCGUUACUGUAUGAGUUUUGUAUAAUAGGAAUCUAAUUGACUACCAUAAUGUCCGCUAGCGGAUCUGAGCAUAAACAACAAUACUAGGGUUAUUCUUGUGCAAGGGUUACAAAAUGGGAAAAGGUACCAAUAUAAAAAAUAUGAAAAUAUAAUUUUCUAAUUUAUUAACCAAUAGUAUUUUCAUCAAUAAAUAAAUAAUAAAAGUAAAAAAUUGAUUUCUUUUGGAAAAUCAUAUCAUAAUUGAACAUCAAUUACAAAAACAAUUUAAAAUUACAAAUAGAUUUUCAAUUGGUAAAAUAAAAAUAUUAUUAUUUUGAUAAACUUAAAUUCUUGAAUAAAUCAAAUAAUAAUAACAUAAAAUUGAAUAGUAACAAAAGAAAGAAUUGUUGAGAACAAAAUAACAAUUGAAAAUUAUUUAUUUGCAGAUAAUAUUAUAAAUGAAUUUAAAGAUAAUAGAAAAAAUUUUAAAGGGGUAAUUAGAACAAAAUGCACUAUCUUUUGUCACCGCGUGUAUUAAAUAAUGCCGAGCUGUGGCCUCCACCUCCUAUAGUGAGUAGUAGGUAAAAAAUUUGGUACGUGAAGUACGGUCUUUUAAAUAAUUCUCUACAAAUGCGACUAGAUAAUGAGACAAAAUAUAGGACCUGUUUGAGCCCCAUUAUUUCCUCAUUAAAAUGAAAAAUAUGAUCGUUAUCCAUCAUAUUUGAUUUUUUAUUUCUUGUAUGAGGUCCAUAACGACUAUAUUUUUCAUUUUCAUUUUUAUAUUAAUGUGGCUCAAACGGGAGCAUAGUAUCUUUUCAUCCAUGGGCAAAUGGUCUAACUAAGAAAUAUUAAUUCUAAAAAGGAAAAAUUAGCCAAAACUUUUCAUCUCAAGUAUACAAUUCAAAAACAAAGGGUAAAUUCAAUCAGGUGCCAAUUACGAUUUCAAUUAAUUUACAAUUAAUAAUAUGAUUACUUAAUUUAAUCAAUAUUCUCUCAUAUCUCUCACUGUCCUUUCUACUGUCUCUCUGAAUUAUACCCCCUCAAAUCCUAAAUCCAGAAAAUCCCAUAUCACAUUGCCAUCAAUACCUUCUCUUCUUAGUCGGCAACCAACACCUUCCCUCAACUUCGGCACCAUCACGUGCUUCAUUCACCGAUGCUUCCUUAUCGACCCCGACGCUAUCUAGCUCUAUUAUAAGAUUAGAUGCAGGAACUAACUUCUAAAGAUGCUCACAAUUUUCUCCCCCUUUCUCUUCUCUUUCUCUCUCCUUCCCUCCAUCCCUUUCGACACGGCUACAAGGUAAUCGACACCGCAGUAGUAUCGACGUUGUAAGAGGAUCGACUUCAUUGUGAGAGAAGUGACAUUGAUGCGAGACUCUGACUAGGAACGUCAUGUGACCUCCACCAAACAGCAUCGAUGCUGUUGCAGGUGAACGCCGUUCUCCAUCGUCUUCUUCGAGACGCAGUUCUUCAAGGCCAUUCUCCACUUUCGGCAAAGUCACAGAAAAUGGUAGUGAUGAUGGUGUUGGAAUGGCCAUUGGUCUCGGCAUGGGUGAACCAUGCGACCGCAUGGUUUUGGUACAAUUUUUUGGCCAUUGGAGGCCGUUUUCUCCCGUUGUAAAUUAAAAUUUGGUGACUUUUGGCUUAAAGUUUGGUACCAUUUCGUGAAUGUGGUAUAUGCCGAUAUAUAUUGGAUCCAUGUUGAAGGCAAAAUCAUCACAAAAACAUCAAGGUUCCAUAUUACUUCCAAAAUCAAAUAUCAAAAUCGUUAAAAGUCAUAAUCAUAUUCAUUCUUUGUGUUCUUCAAGUUUUCUAGGAUUUGCACUUGUACUUUAGUACUUAAAUCCUUGCAAGACUUGUUAUAAUCCUGCAAACCAUUUGCCAACAACCUUCGAAGCAUCUAAAAUUCAUAGGAGAAAGGGCAAAUAUCGUUUGAGGAUAACGAUAUCGUGUUCAAGCCAUUCGUUGAUACAAAUUCAUGAUUUUCUUGUUAUUGGCGUUUCCAGUUCAUAUUUUGUGAUUUCUACUCAAAUUCGGUGAAAUUUUUCCUACAAUCUCAAACGAUAUUUCUGCAAUGGAAAGUGAGACAAUGAUGACGUCAAUCAAACUCAUGAAUCAAGACUUGGUGCGAUUAGAUCGGUUUGAUGGAACGAACUACACUCGAUGGAAAGACAAAUUGAAGUUUCUUCUUACUGCACUAAAAAUCUUCUACAUCCUAGAUCCGGAAUUGUCGCCACUACCAGAACCAACAAAUAGAGAAAUCAAAGCGGUGAGAAAUGAAAGACAAAAGCCCCAAGAAGAUGAGUUAAUAUGUCGCGAUCACAUUCUCAACGCCUUAUCGGAUCGUUUGUAUGACUUAUAUACAAACACAACUUCAGCAAAUGAAAUUUGGGAUGAGCUCGAAAAUAAGUACAAAGCGGAAGAAGAAGGUACAAAGAAAUUUUUAAUUUCUAAGCACUUCGAUUUUAAAUUUUUAGACAAUAUUCCCCUUCUUCCCCAAAUACAUGAAAUGCAAGUAAUUGUCAAUAAGUUGAAGGUGGUGAAAAUUGAAAUACCGGAGACCUUUCAAGAGGGGGCUAUAAUUGCCAAACUUCUCGGAACUUGGAAAGGAUACCGUAAGAAGAUAAUGCAUAGUUUCGAAGAUUAUUCUUUGGAACAACUGCAAAAACAUCUUCAGAUUGAGGAAGAGUCGAGAAUACGUGAUAAAAGUGAUUCUCAUAAGGGCACUUCCAAAGUAAAUGUUGUAAAAAAAUUUGAACCGCCAACAAAAUCCAACAAAAGAAAGCCUUUGAGAAAUCCUAAUAAGUUCAAGAAAAAGACCAAAGAAGGAUGCUUUGUUUGUGGAAAAUCUAGACGCUACGCAAAAGAUUGUAGACACCGAAAAUACAAUAACUCCGAGGGUAAAGUGAAUAUCAUCCAACAAGACAAGAUAGUGGCCACUGUGAGCGAAAUAAAUGCAAUUAAUGGAAAGGUUCCCGGCUAGUGGUAUGAUAUUUGUGCCACGGUGCAUGUAUCAUAUGACAAAUUUUUGUUCAAAACAUACAAUGAAAUAAAUAAAGUUGAUUUUGCUUACAUGAUUGAUUUAUUUUCUUUAUGGCAUACUAGAUUAGAUCAUAUAGGUAAAAGUACAAUGAAAUACAUAAGAAAUCAUAACUUAAUUUCAUAUGAUAAAAAUGAUGCCAUUAAAUGCAAAACAUGUGUAGAAGCAAAAAUGACUAAAAAGCCUUAUCAAAGCGUUAAGAGGACUUCUAAUAUAUUAGAAUUAAUUCAUUUCGAUAUAUGUGAAUUGAAUGGCAUGCUAACAAGAGGUAGAAAUAGAUAUUUCAUAACAUUUAUCGAUGAUUGCUCAAGAUAUACCUAUGUUUAUUUGAUGAAACACCAAUAUGAGGCAUUUGAUUUGUUUAAGACUUAUAAGAAUGAAGUUGAAAAUCACUUAAAUAAGAAAUUAAAGACCUUAACAAGUGAUAGAGGUGGUGAAUUUGAUUUAUAUUGUGAACAACAUGACAUAAUUCACCAAUAUUCUGUACCCAGGACACCUGAACUAAACGGUUUGGCUGAAAGAAAGAAUAAAAUCUUAGUAGAAAUGAUUAAUGUCAUGCUUAUAUAUGCUAAGUUCCCGUUUAAUUUAUGGGGUGAAGCUUUAUUAAGUGCAUGUAGGAUACUUAAUAGGAUUCUUUUUAAACAUAUAAAGGUUUCUCCUUAUGAAUUAUGGAAAUGAAGAAAAUCGAACAUUGGAUACUUCAAAGUAUGGGGGUGUCUUGUUUAUUGUAAGAACACAAAUCCUAAUAGGACCAAAUUGGGUCCAAGAGGCAUUUUUGUUGGAUAUACUAAUAAUAGAAAAUCUUAUAGAUUGCAAAACUUGGAGAUCAAUGUGAUUAUCGAAUCAAGUGAUGUAGAGUUCUUUGAAGAUUUGUUAUCAUCGGAUAAUGAAUUAAAGGAAAAUAUUGAAAACAUCCCUAGCUCAAGUGGAAUGCGUGAUGAAAUGUCUUCUAAAGAUGUUGAUGAGUCUAGUGAACCAUGAAGAAGUAAGAAAACUCAAGUUGAGAAGUCUUUGGGAUCGGAUGAAAUUGAUUCUCAACUUAUCUCCUUUUACUUAGUAGAAGGAAAUGAAAUGAAUGUUGUGAGAACAAUUCCUUUUGUUCUACAAGUGGAAACCGACCAUAAAACCUAUAAAGAAGCUAUGGCUUCUCGUGAUAGCAUUUUUUGAAAAGAUACAAUUAAAGAUAAAAUGGAUUCGAUAAUGUCUAAUAAAACUUGGGAACUUGUUGAUCUUCCACCAGGAUCCUAACCUAUUGGAUGUAAAUGGGUAUUUAGGAGGAAAUAUAAUGUUGAUGGCUCUUUAAAUACUUUCAAAGCUAGAUUAGUAGCUAAAGGAAAUCGACAAAAGGAAGGAAUCGACUAUUUUGACACUUAUGCAUCAGUAGCUAGAAUAACAUAGAUUAGGAUAUUAUUCGCUUUGACCUCAAUCUAUGACUUGCAAGUUCAUCAAAUGGAUGUUAAGAUGACAUUCUUAAAUGGGGAUCUCGAUGAGGAGAUCUAUAUGGAGCAUCCCAAAGGGUUUGUUCUACUUGGAAAUGAACAUAAGGUAUGCAAAUUAGUAAAAUCCUUAUAUAUUUGAAGCAAGCACCUAAGAAAUGGCGUGAGAAAUUUGACUUAGCUAUAACAUCAUUCGGAUUUAAACAUAACAGUGUAGAUAGAUGUUUAUAUUCAAAAGUAUAUGAUGAUAAUGUGACAUUUAUAUGUUUAUAUGUUGACGACAUGUUGAUUAUGAGUAAUCACAUGGAUGAUAUAGAAAAAACAAAGAGGUUUCUAUAUUCCACAUUCAAAAUGAAGGAUCUUGGUCAAGUGGAUACCAUUUUAGGUAUCAAAGUCACUAAGACUAGUGGGGGUUAUCACCUAAGUCAAUCUCAUUAUAUUGAGAAUGUGAUAACAAGUUCAAAUACUUGAACAUAAAAGAAUAUAGCACCCCGGUUGAUCCAAGUUCAAAACUUGUAAAGAAUGAUGGAAAGACGAUUACUCAAUUGGAAUAUGCUAGUGCUAUAGGAAGUCUUAUGUAUGUAGUUCAAUACACAAGACCGGACAUAGCCUAUGUCAUACGUAAACUUAGCAGGCUUACUAGCAAUUAGAGCAAUAAUCAUUGGAAGGCCAUUGGAAGAGUUCUUGGAUACUUAAAGAAAACCAAGAACCUAGGCAUGUAAUAUACUAAAUUCCUAGCGGUAUUGGAAAGAUUAAUGAUGCUAGUUGGAUAUCUAGUGCAGGUGAGAGUAAAUCCACUUCGGGUUAGGUGUUCACUCUUGGAGGAUCUUGGAAAUCAAAGAAACAAACAUGCAUAACACACUCGACCAUGAAAUCUGAAUUUGUAGCCCUAUCGAAUACCAAAAAAGAUGUUGAGUAGCUUAGGGAUCUCCCUUAUGAGAUACCUUUGGGAUCGAAGAAUAUUUCUUCAAUAUCUAUCAUAUGUGAUAGUCAAGCCACAUUAGCAAAAGCAUAUAAUGACGUAUACAACGGAAAGUCUAAACACAUGAGUCUUAGACAUGACUAUAUAAGGAAGUUAAUCAAGAAUGAAAUAAUUUUCCUAAAUUAUGUAAGAUCAAUUGAGAAUUUGGCGGAUCCUUUGACUAAAUCUCUAAACAGAGAUAUAGUAGCAUCUACUUCAAGUAGGAUGGAAUUGAAACUCCUUAACUAAAAAGGUUCACCAAUGACAGCAACCCUACAUGUCAUUACUCAAAAGGUAAUUUACGGGUUCAAAGAGUAACAACAAGUCAUUUGAUAUGUAAAUAAUUGCAGCAUUAUUAAAAAAAAAAUCCGCAAUAAUCUCAUCCUAAUUAAAUUAAUGAUCGUUGUUACUGAAAUGAGAGAUGAGCUUUAAACUCUUAAUGAAGUUCAGUGCUAAAAUACAAGUACCUCUAAAGGUAACAAAUGUACUGAAAGAACUUCACCUAAACAAUCUUCAAGGUGGUGCCGCCUUAACAGGGAAUUGUAGUUUCUCUCUUAAAAGAUUGUUGAAAAGGAUAAGCGCAAAGCCAUAAAAGCGCUAAACGAGUUAUGAGAAACUUGAGAACACGUGGUACUCGUGUGUGCGUUCUUACCGGUAUUGUCAUAUGGAAUAAUUGGUUCAAAGCUACACGCUACCUUUGAUUCCGACUAUACUUUGUUUGAAUUACACUAUGGUUAUAUUCAAAUCGAAAGAUAUUUAAUCCUUAUGCAUAAGUAUCGUAUAUCAUAAAUAUGAGAUUUGUUAAUUUUGAACAAGUGGGGGAUUGCGGUGAUUAUGUUGUUCAAAACCAACCAAAAAAAAAGAGUGGUUCAUGCGACCGCAUGGCAUAAAGCCAUGCGCCGAGACCAUUUGGUCUUGGCAUGGGUGAAUCAUGCGACCGCAUGGUUUUGUAUCAUGUGGUCGCAUGAUACUAUUUUUUUAGCCGUUGGAGGCUGUUUUCUCCCGUUGUAAAUUUAAAUUUGGUGACUUUUGGCUUAAAGUUUGGUACAAUUUCGUGAAUGUAGUGUAUGCCUAUAUAUAUUGGAUCCAUGUUGAAGGCAAAGUCAUCACAAAAACACCAAGGUUCCAUAUUACUUCCAAAAUCAAAUAUCAAAAUCUUUAAAAGCCAUAUUCAUAUUCAUUCUUUGUGUUCUUCAAGUUUUCUAGGAUUUGCACUUGUACUUUGGUACUUAAAUCCUUGUAAGGCGUGUUAUAAUCCUGCAAACCAUUUGCCAACAACCUUCGAAGUAUCUAAAAUUCAUAGGAGAAGGGACAAAUAUCAUUUGAGGACAACGAUAUCGUGUUCAAGUCAUUCAUUGAUACAAAUUCGUGAUUUUCUUGUUAUUGGCAUUUCCAGUUCAUAUUUUGGGAUUUCUACUCAAAUCCGGUGAAAUUUUUCCAACAAGUGUUGUUAGUGGUUGUGAUUUUAUUGUUGGUGUUGUGGUGGUGUUGGCGGCGGAGACGAAGAUGUUACCCAUCGUUACAAUCCACCAGGUUUGUUGCAAAUCUUGUUUUUCUUUUCUAGAUUUGAUAAUAGUUGAUUUCUUCCUUAUGAUGGUUGUGGUGAUGAUGAAGGUGAGAUGGAUUGUAAAAAUGGUGGAAAUUUUGGGGGCAAAAGAAAGAUAAUUGGAAUGGUAGUGGUGUUGACAAUGUGACCGUAGUGUUUGUUGAAUGGGAAAUCAUAAGUGGACUUGUUAGGUGUAUGUGCAAAUGAUAGAGUGAUAAUGUAGAAUAGCUCAUGCUGAUCAUCUAGCAACCUCAGUACGGUAGUGAAACUAUCAAAGCUACUAUUCCAAGUUGUGUUCCCCGACUUCCGUCUCAACUCCGCAUCUAGAUGGUAUUUCAUCUUGCAAAAAUUCAAAUAGUAGAACAUUGAAUAAGAGAUAAUGGAAUAAAGCAUAAUCUCAGAAAAUUACGCGAACUGAGUUGUAUCUACUAUAUGCAAGAUCUAGAUUCAUUUUACACCGAAGCUAAUAAAUAAUUUGUGUGCACGUGAGUGUAAUUUUUUUAUUGCACUCUACUAUUCAAAGAUUUACACUGAAAUCUUUGUGAACAUAUGUCUAACAAUGAAUUGUUGUUGCGGCUUAUGUUCAAAUCGGUAUGUCUCUUUCUAUGCAUGAGUUUUUAUGCCAACAUAUACCAUGUUCCAUGCUUGCGUUUUGUAUGAGUAGAAAAAAAUCCUAUUAACAAGAUCUUCGAUGAAUUAUUUCUCAAAGAAUAUACAUCUCUUUGUGUUCUUGAAAAAAAUCACAAAUUAAACAAUUCAAUAUUGAAUUGCUAUUUUUAAAGGAAAAUCAUUUUUUAUUUUAAUAAUAUUCCAGAAGAAUAUUGUAGCUUGAAAAUGAAUAUCAUAUUUGUAUUAUUUUAUUGCUCUUGGAGAAGUACAAAUUCAUACAUAAUAAUAUCUUAUAAUAUUCGAGAAGAAUAUUACUCAUAGAUUUGUCUAUUAUAAACAUUUUGUUUCUCCUAAAAUAACACAAUAUUAUAAUUAAUAUCUAAGAAAAAUAUUAUUUGUGUAUGAAGUAUGAAUUAUAAUUUUCAAUAUUUUAGAAGAAUAUUGAUCGAUUUUUAUGUAAAAUCACGAAUUCAAUUACUCAAUUUCUUUUUAAGUGUCCAUUCUUCUGUAUACGUAUUUAUAUAUCGAUGUUUUAGUUAAUUUUUUUUUUUUUGCUCUAAAUAAGCAUAUUAAAUAGGGAAAAUUGCAGCCGAGGUAUCAAACCUUUCGUUUAUUAGUAGACUUUUCCCAAACCUUUAGUUUGUACCAGCCACAGUCCCAAACCUUUCAAAAAUAUGCACUAGGAGUUCAAAUGGAUGGAAACCGUCCGUUUGACCGUUUGUUGACAAAUAAAAUUGAAUUUUGACCAAUUUUUGACUAACUUAAAAGGGCAGAAAGGUAAAUUUACUAUUUAAUUCUAUAAUAAAACAAAUAAACUAAUAUACCAAAUAAAAAUAAAAGAAACUACUAUUCAUCUUCUUCUUCCCCUACCCCACCCCACCCCACCGCUAUUGUAAUUUUCCCAAUAAAAAAUGGUUUCUUCUUUUAGGAGCUGUAAUUUCGGGUUGUGCUGAGACGUACGAAACAGAAAUGUAACAGCAGGAGCAAGGUCCGAGCAAGGAUCGAAGAUCCAGAAGCAAUUUUUCGAUCGACAUCAGAAGGUUCGACAAUUCAGACAGGGAGAUGUUCUCGCCUUGCCGCCGGGUAUAACUCUUUGGCUUUAUAACAAUGGGCAAGAGCUACUUGUUACUGUGUCACUUCUUGACACUGCAAAUAAAAUGAACCAGCUUGAUCUCCAAUUCAGGGUAAGAAUAUCUGAAAUUUCUUGGUUGGUAAGCAAUAUUAUUCAGAAUUUUAUCGAAAUUUUCACUUUUUUCUUUUAGAAUUUCUUCCUUGCUGGAUUCAGUCGGGAUGAAUCCACACUUUUCAGUUCCAGUUCUUCCAGUUUUUCGAAGCAAGAAGCCCAAUUCUUCCAGCAUUUUUUAUUGGGAAAAUUGUAGCAGUGGUGGGGUGGGGUGGGGGGAGAAGAAGAUAAAUAGUAGUUUUUUUUAUUUUUAUUUGGUAUAUUAGUUUAUUUGUUUUAUUAUAGAAUUAAAUAGCAACUUUACCUUUCUACCCUUUUAAGUUGGUCAAAAAUUGGUCAAAAUUCAAUUUUAUUGGUCAACUAACGAUCAAACGGACGAUUUCCAUCCAUUUGAACCCCCGGUGCAUAUUUUUGAAAGGUUCGGGAUUGUGGGUGGCACUAACUAAAGGUUUGGCAAAGUCUGCCAAUAAACGAAAGAUUUGGUACAUCGACUGCAAUUUUCCCGAUUAAAUAUGAUCUAAGUAAAUUAUGCAUUUACUCCUGAAGAUAAAUCAUUGUAUAAUUUAUUAUAAUAUUAUGUGAUUGUUCUUGGAGAGCAUAAAUUAGAAUUUUCAAUAUUUCAAAAAAAAUUGACAUAUUACUUUUGAAUGUGCAAUAAUAAAAUAUAACUUAUUCUCGAAAUAACACAUGUUUCAAAAAUGUAUCAUUUUAAAUUCAUGUUUAUCCUUGAAAAAAAUCAUUUAACAAUGUCACAAGGACAUUAAUUAGCUUGACUACUUAAAUGAUAUUUGCUUAUAUAUAUUGUUAAUCAUAUUCUUUGAAAUUAAAUAUUGAAUUAUAUCUUAUAUUGAACUAGAAAUUCAAUUUAAAUUUACUGUUUGGCAUGACCGGUUGGAUAAUCUUUGAAUCAAUAAGAUGUGAGAUUAAAAAUUCGAAUAGACAUUCAAUCAGAAUCAGAAGAUACUUCAACCAAUUGAAUUCUCGUAUGUUAUUUGUUCUCUUUAUCAAAAUCUAACCAUUAAACAUCACUAGCUAUAACAAUGACUAAAUUCACUAUAUUUAUGAAAAUUAAUUAUGAUGAUAAAUGGGGCUUAAUCAUCCUCUAGUUGAUCAUUUAUUAUAUAUCUUUUAGAUUUGAUACAUAUACUAGAUGAUUACACGGUGUUUGUAAUCUAAAGUUUGCGAAAUUAUUGCUUAAAUUUUAAAUUAUAAACAUAAUUUUCAGAUUAUACAAUCGAAACAAUGUAUCGUGUCAAUGUUAGAGAUUCUAAAAUUUCAACAAUUUAGUAAGUGAUAUUUGAAAUAUCAAUACAUGGUUUAACACUAUUUUUUGUUAAGUGUCUCUAAUUAAUUUCUUAACAAGUAUUACUGAGAACAAAGUAUUUCUUAUUUCUGUCUAGGGAAAGUUAUUACGCUUCUUGCCAAUAUCGAGUUCUCCCUAUUAUAGUUAACUUAUGGUUAGAACCUAAUAUUUUUCAUCUAAUAAUUUUUUAAUAUGCAAUAUAUGUAUAAUUGCUCAAUUGCAUUAUAUUGACAUGAAAAAUAAAGAAUGUUGAGAAUAAAUUCGUAAUUUGAACUCUUAUCCCAAAUACCUAGCAAAGAUGAUUAUCAAUUUGAUUGGAUAAUUUUCUUAGCAAUAGGGGGGAUUAUGAAAUUGGAAAUAAUUUACAAAUGCGUCAUUAUCUAAAUCUUAGCAAAAGAUAAUUUGAACCAAGAGUUCAAAAAGAUAAUUUAUUUAUAUAUAUUUACUAAUCACAGAGAUCACCAAUAUCUCACGUACGAAUUGAUUUCCUAGAAGGACAAUUCGUUAACUCUAUAUUUGAUAAAUUUAUGGUAUGUUUGAGGCAUGAUGGUAUUCAAUUCUAAUACAAAAAAUUUCCAAACAAAAAUGGAGCAUAUAGCAAAGAUGGUCACGUUUAAGAGGCGUACACUUUUGGAAAAUAUAUAAACAUAAUAAAUUAUAAAACCCUAGAAGAGGUUCAGAUACUUGAUAUAUUGAAAUUUGUGAUACUCAUUAAGUUGUAUCAUUAUAAAAAGAAUAGAAUCAAAAAUAAAAGUUAUCAACAACACUUUUGCACAUGAUAUACUGCAUUAUAUUAUGAAUAGAGAGAAAUAGAAAUAAAUUCGUCAAAAUAUAUCGAUCAAAACAAUGUUUGCACAAAGUAAAUAGAUGCAAUUCUAGAAAAUUGAACUUACUAGAGAAACCUGAGAUUUCUGGAUCUACAAUCCAAACACCUAAAAGCGUAUGUUUAUGCGAAAUGUAAAUAGAAAAAGUGAAGUUGUAAUAUGAAAUGUAUGGCUCUUUACAUAAUGAAUUUUGCGAAGGGUUGUAUAAAUAGAUAAAUUAUCAUGUGAUAGAUGUAAAUCAUAAAUCUCUAUUUUAUUAGUCUAAAUGUAUGAAAUUUGAUAUGCAUAUAAUAAAUUUGAUUAUAACUAACUCAUAUGGUAUGACUAUUAAUAUUAACUUGAAAGAUUUAAUAUGUUCAAAGCUUAUAAUUGAAGUGAUAUUAUCAUGAGAGGGGGUGAAUAUACACUGUACACUUUAUAUCUUAAUCAAGAUUUUGGCCCAUUAGGUUCUCCUGACAAGGUUUUUAACAAGACAACUUUUGUAACGUAUUCAAAAAAAUAAUAUGAAUUUUUUUCAUUAUGAUUUUUCGUAGUAAGAUUUUAACGAGACAUAUCCUUUGUGUGAUAAAUGAACAUACAGGACAUUUACCCUCAAAAUAAUACUUCUAUAUAGAUGAGACCUCCGAAGAAAUUAACAAGAGCUAUUUUUCGAAUCAUCGUGUUACUACAAUUAUUAAAGGUUGAUAAAUAUUUCGUAUGAAGAAAACGUUACUUGAAGACAUUGGUGUACAAGAAAUUGCAAUAUUGAAGUCACUAACGUACAAGAUAUGGAUUGUUUGAUGAAAUAAUUCUCACUCACUAAAAUCAGAGGGGAGUAGUUAUACUCUUUUUCCUUUGAUUAAUUUUCUUGACAAGAUUUUAACAAAACAACAUUUUAUUACUCUAAAUUAUUUUUACUCUUUUUUUUCCCAUUUGUUGGCAUUUUGUCCUAUUGAAAUUUUGUCAAAUAAUAUUUCAAUAAGAUAGUUACCGUGUAAAUAAUUAUUCAAGGGGAAUGUUGUAAAUAUAGCAAUAUUUAUAAAUGAUUUUUAUACCCCUACAAUUUUAGUCAUUAUGACAUUUUGUUCUUUGUAACCCUAUUUCUUUCCUAUAAAUAUAGAGUUUUAGUUCUUAAUAAAAUACACAAUUCUAUUGGCUUCUAAACUCUAUUGUCACCCAUAGAUAAAAUUAAAUAAAAAUAUCAUUCUAUAGUCAUUUACUAAUAUUUAAUUUUUAUUUUAUUUUUGACAUUUUAAUAAAACCCUAAUAUUCAUAAAAUAUCUUUUUUGAGUAAAGUCAUAACAAAAAUGGAAGAGACGCUAUUAGAGCAAAUACUUAUGUACGAACAUAUAAAUAUGUAAAAAAGAGUUUGAAAAAGUAAGGAAUGCCUUUCAUUAUGUGUUUGAUGAAUUUAGCAUUUGAAUGAUUCUUAAUUUAUGUUUGGGUUAUUUAAUCAUACGCCUUUUAAAUUAAAGUAGUAUUUGAAGAAAUUUCAUUUUGAAUUAUUUGAGUUUUCUAUUAGGAUUAUCUUUUAAUUGAAAACAUUGAUACCUAUCCUUUCUGCUAGGAUUAUCAAAACAAGAAUGUGAAAUUUUUUGCUAGGAUUAUCUUCUUCCAUUUUUUCCCCUUAAAUUCAAAACAAUGGUAUCUAAUCUACUAGGAUUAUCAAAAUAAGUAAAGAAAUUUGAUGGUACAUAUUGAUGGCAAUAGUUGAACAUAUGAAAUGAUUAUGAAGGAUUACAAUGGGUAGAUUUAUAAAAAUGGUGAGAUAAAUAUAUAAAAAAUAUGUGCAUAGAUAUAUGAAAGGAUUAUGACCGGAUAUAUAUGAAAAUGUUGUGAAUUUAUAAUGUUAAAAUGAAUGAAUUCGAUAGGGACAAUAUUAGAAUGUGACAUAAAUAAAAAUGGUAAUUUUUUAAAAUUCAAAAUUUUAGUAAAGAUAGAUAUAGAGUGAGAUGAAUAUAUGACAAUGGUAAAUGAAAAAUGACUGCUUUCUUUAUAAAUUAUUUUUAAAUAAAAAAUUUAUUUUCAUUAACACAUUUCAGUGAACUCGUAAAUACAUUUCAGUUAUUCAUGAUUCAAUUUUAUUGAUUUAAAAAUUAAAUCAUUUAUAAAAUCUUCCCAAACCAAUGCUUUCGUAUAUAUUCAUAUAAUAUAUCUAUACAUAACAAUGUUACUAUGAGCUGCUAAAGCAAAACUCCAAAUGAAGGAAAGUAUUUUAGUACCUGUUAGGUUUAGUUAAAUAAGUAGAUGAAAAUAUAAAUAAAGUCAAUAAUAAAUUUUAACUACACAUUUUAUGAGCUCCACAAUUUUUAUUAACUUUUCAAUUAUACAUUUUAUAAACUUUAAUCAAAUCUACUAAGAAUCUUGUUUGGCCUUAAUUUCUUAUAACUCAUUUUUUCAAACUCUUUUUUACCACACAUUUUUCUAAUAAAAUAAUUUUGCACGUGAAUUCAUAAUUUUUCUUGACUUUUUAAUAUUUUCAAAAAAAAAAAAAUCACUUUUCACAAAAUCUAUUCUAAAAAAUCUCUACCAAAAAAUGAGUUAAAAACUAAUUUUUUUUAAAAAAUCAAACAGGACUUGGUCCAUAUUUCCUUCAAAAAAAAUAAUUCCGCAGGGCAAUUCAAUUUAUACAAAGUCGUGACGUAGGAAAAAAACAUCAAUGUAGUCCUAAUCAUUCUAGAGUUUGAUUACCCAAUAUUCUAAGAAUUUAUUGUGCUCGUCAUCACAUAUUAAAUGUUAAAGUAAUUUUAUAAUAACCGAAAUCCUUUUUAUCUUGCAUUAACUUGAAAACACGUGCAUCUAAAUUUUUAUCCAUAAAUUUCGUGAAAUCUAUAAGUACUAUCCAUUUGUUAGUAACUCAAUUUUAUCUAUUUAUAUUUCACUGUUUAUAAUACUCAUUAAACAUAGACUUAAAAUAUAUUUGUCUCAUAAUACUUUGACUUGAUUUCUGAAACAUUCAAAGUGAACUAGAUUCCAAUACUCUUCCUUGAUGCACUUUUGUGACAAGGUUAAUCACAAAAAUGAUUUAAUGUCCACGGUGUGUAUUAUAAUCCAUGCCCACCAUGGACAUUAGAACAAAACUAAGGUUAAUCAUAUUUAGGAGUAUGGUCAUAUUCUCAUUUCUUUUUCUUCAUACUCGAAAUCAUCUUCUCAGUUAGAAAUUGGAACGAAUGACGUCAAAUUGUUAAGAAUAUUUGCAUUUUUCAUUUUGAUUGUGAUUCUGGUUUCUAAUGUAGAGUAAUAUUAUUUGUUGCAAGGGAGAAAUUCCAGUUGAGAAAUCUUCAAGAAGCUAAAAAAAAUCAGCUACAUGGCUCAAAAUAGUGGAGAUUAAAAAUCAAGAAAAGAGGAGAAAAUUAAAACAUCAAUAAUUAAAUUACAGAUUGAAAACAAAUAUUUUUUUUUCUAAAUAAAUCUUAUUUGAUCCGUAACUGAGACAAGCUAGAGCCUAUAAUUUAAUUAUGGAUAAUGUUUAUAUUUUUCUACUUUUAAAACGAAUUAAUAUAAGAAAUACUAAUUAGAUAUAUAACCAUUUAGUAUCAAGAAAUUGCACUUCACAUACUGAAUUUGCUCUAUUUAAGUGAAAAAAAAAAGGAAAAAAAUUAUAUUUCAAAAAGAACCACGAACUCGAGAUAAACGAAAAGGUAAACUACAAUAGAAGCUAUAAAUAUAUCAAGGUCAAUUACCUGACAUUAUAAAAAAUAAAAAUCACUUAAGUUUGUAAAUAAUGAAAGAAAAUAAAAGCUCGAAUUGCAAAGAAUGAACGAUUUGAUUCAUCAACUUACAUUACAAUUCUAGCUUGAAAUAUUUUAUUCAUAAAAAGCCCAAAUUGCAAAAAUAUUUAUGCACUAAUCUCUGAAAUGAUAUAAUCUGAUGUGAAACGAGAUGGAAAAAAGUGGAGACAAGUGACAUCUUUGGAUUUGCGUGCGUGAGAGCAACUCAAACAAAGAAGAGUCUGGUCCGAUCUGAAUUCAGGCUCAACCCGCCCAUUUUCUACUAGGUCUGAGAAUGGUGCCAUGCAUUCAGUCGAGCAAUUUGGAACCAAGUAUUGAGCAAAUUUGUCUUGCAGUAUACUCCAUUGACGGUAGAUGACCUAGUCACUUCUCGAUUCUUUAUUUCUAUUCCUAAUUUAUCUUUUGGACCUUUGGUUUCGGUUUGAUUUCGAUUCGAGAGGUUCGAUUCUAGUUAAAAUGUCCAAUCCUUAUUUAGAAGAAAUUUUGGUAUUGGACGAAAACGGAUGAAAAUGAACGAUAAUUGCCCAAAAAUGAGUAAAGUUUAGCAUAUUUUGGAACUUGGAGAUCAAUGAGUCACGUUUGAAAGCUGAAGGACCUCAAUUACAUUAUCUAAGGACUCAAUCUAAACAAAAUAGGAAAUAUGGGCCAAUUGCUCCAAGUGAGAGCAUAAUUUUGGCGAGUUCAGAUCUCCUAAUUUGACUAAAGUAUGAUUUACUAUCAUCUUGAGACUAAAAUAGAGAUUUUAGACAUUAAAUUUGGGUCUAUAAAUAAGAAUCUUCCAUUCAAUUAAAAUAAGAGGCUAAAGAUACAAUCUUUAGGGAAAAUUACAAAUUCAAAUAAGUUGGAUCCUCAAGAUUUGUGUCUCAAUUCAAGAUUUGAAGAUUGAAUAACACAAAUGACCAGAAGAUUUACAAUCAUCCAAGAAGAGUUUGAAGAUCCAUUGUUGAGAAUUGGGUGCUAAAGGACAACGAUUGAUUGCAUUCCUUUUUAUUUUUUUUUGUGGUAAUGAACUCGGUGAUAGUUUUAAUCCUUUUGUUAUUUAUUUCCAAAUACAUGAUUGGCUAUAUAAUUGGUUUUUAAGAUGACAAUGUAGCUUAGGUUUUAUUAUUGUUUAAUUAAGAUGAUUUCAUGCAACUUUGAUUGUGUGUUAAUUAUUUAGUGUGUGUUUAACUAACAUUCAUUCGGUUGAUCAACAAUUAUUUGAUUUACGGAAAAAUAUUGAUACAAUGAUACUGAGAGGAGAUAUAUUUGUCUAAUUUGUGUAAUAAGUGGCAUAAGUUUUAUAAGAGAUCGAGAAAUGAUUAUAACUUAUGCAAUCAUGAUUGAAGCAUAAAAUAUUUGUUUUCUUUGCAUACUUCAUAGACUACUAGAUUCAUUAAUGGCUACUAUGCCCGGUUAAACCAUCUAAUUGACUUUUGGUUGAAUUGUGCCAUCUUCUUGACAUACUUUGGUUGCUGUUCUUGACAGAUGUGAGCAUAUAUCGAAAGAAAACAUUUAUGAUGUUGAUUCAAUGUCAGUAGUUGAUGUUGGUGAAGAAGUAGCAUGCAUUUAGGGGAAAGCUAUUUAUGUUUGAUAUGUACACUUCUUCUUCCUUACCUAAAAUCUUUAAAAUUAUAUGUUAAUAUUUGAAAUUAAGAAAUGUCAAGGGGGAGAUUGUUAGGAAAUUAUGUGCGGCAACAUAUUUUUAUUUAACUCGUGUUAAUUAUUGAUUUGUUGGUUUUCUUAAUUUUUUGUGGAUUUCAAUGUAGAGCUUCCGUGUUAAAAAAAAAAAAAAAAAAAAGGUUGAACACCAACAUUGAGGGGCCCCAUCGCCCCGUCUCUAGAGCUUUGUGAAGGAGGUAAAUCACGGGAUGUGUCCCAAUAGGUCAGGGAACAAGAGCUGUUUAUACACUGCGCCUACAAGGAGCCCGAUUCCAUAUUUCAGGAAUCAAAUUCUCACACUGCGACUGCCAGCAAGACGUGAAAUAAUCUCAGUCCUGUCCUUUGCACUACUGAGUUAUGCCCCAAAAGACCGAGCUUCCAUGUACUAUAUACAUGUGUUUGAUGAAAUUUUAUUUGGAUGGGUGAAGCGUUUGGAGAAUAUACCUAACUCCGUGAAUUCAUCUGCAAGUUUAAUGAACUCCAAUUUUAGUGAGUUCACGUGCAUGUUCGAGCGUACCAGCGAACUAACCCGAACAGACUUGUGAUUUUUGAGUUUCACAUAUUUGCCCUAUAUUUUUUUAACUAAAUGUGGAUUAUUUCAUUUAAUACACAAGCUUAUGGGAAUCCAAAUUUAUUAGACUUUUUUAAUUUGUUCUUCAAUUAAUUCAAAUAUUAUCUCGGAUAAUCCUUAUUUGUUUUCUUGCAGGAAAAUUUUGGGUUGAUUAUUGAUAUUUGUGGUAAUUACAUCAAACCAGGAUUUUUAAAGUUCGAUUUUAAAAAUAAAUAUAAAUUUUGUUUAUACAAAAAAUAGAUUUUAAUUCCAAUAUUUAAUAUUAAUAAUACCACGAAAAUUCAUCACAAAUCCUAAUUACUCUCCCAUCUCAUUUCUCUCUCUACAUCUCUCAAUACCCAUCUCUCUCUCUCUGACACACACACACACACACGGCAGUCGACAUCCCUUCUCCUUUCUCCAUACCCAUCUCUCUAUACACAACAACUGGCAUCCCGUUCUCAGUCACUGUCUUCAUCGUCGGUAAGUAGAGGAUGAGAUUUACUCUUCGCUGGCUAUUAAAUGUCGAGAUUAUCGAAGAAAUUGAAUUCAGUAGUGGAUGAGAUGAAGCAAUCUGAUCACUGCGACCUAAGGUGAAAAUCUCAUCCAAAGUUACAUGGCUAUAUUGUCGAAGUCAUUAGAGACGCUGUUUGGAAUCAAAUAAGAAGGCUCAGGCUCUUUGAGAAAUCAAGCAUUUUGACCUCUGCCCGACCAAAAUGAAGUAACUGCUCGACAAAUUUGUUACGUUCUUUGAUUUUAUUUUAUUAUUAUUAUUAUUUUUUAUUUAUUUAUUUUUUUUUUUUAGUAUUUGGUUAGUGGUGGUUGUGACAUUUGCUGCGACGAUGAGGUGGUGGCGUUGCUAGUGGUCUGAUGAGUUGGUGGUGAUGUUGAUAGUGGUGGUGGUGGUAGUGGUGUGGCGUCGUCGUUGCUGUGAAGUUGCAGUCUAGUUGUGCAAUAACAUUAUUUUGGAUCUGACUUUUUGGUGGUAUUUGGGCAAUAGUGGUUGUGAUAUUGGCUGUGGUGACGAUUUUGGUGGUCUGAUGAGGUGGUGGUAAUGUUGGUGGUGGUUGCAAUGGUCGUGACGGUGAUGGUAGUGAUCGUGGUUUUGGUGCGAUGAUUGUGGGCGGGAUAGAAUGGGGUGGAGGUGUUUCUUACCUAUUAUUUGAUUGAUUGUGACCAGUGAAUAAUAUGUGACAUAAAAAAUGUGAUUGUAACCCAUAAUUUAUUAAGUUGUGAUAGAAAUAACUUAUGACUAUUUAAUUUGAAAAUUUGUGACCGUUACAUAAAUUGUAACUUAUUAAAUUUGUGAUUUGUGAUCAAUAAAUGAAUUGUAACCUACAUAAUUUUUAUUUCUAUGACUAAUGAAUAAAUUAUAACCAAUAAAAAUUUUUAUUUGUAAAAGAAUAAUAAUUUGUGAUCAAUUAAUUUGAUAAUAUGUGAUCGAAAAAUGAGUUGUGACCUAUAAAUAUGUAACUGUGAUCAUAAAUUGUAUAAUUAUGACCUUAAUAUAUAUAAUUAAUAAAGUACAUAUCUAAUUAAUGAUUUCAUAAAUAAAUUUUAAUUACUAUCUGAUUUUUGAAAUUUUAAACCCUUAUUUCUUAGUAUUGAAAUUGAUUAUAUUUAAUCUCUUAAUUAUGAAAUUUUCCCUUGAUAUUUUCUUAGGAGUCUUUUUCUUUAAAUAUAAAUAGGACUCUUAAGAAAAACUUUUAUGAGGCCUUCUUCAAAAAAAAAAUAAAUAAAUAAAAUACUGAAGUCUCACGUUUUUCUUAAUGAGAGAGAAACAGACAUGGCUGAUGAAAAAUUGCACUUGGUUUUCUUCAAUUCUGUUUGAAGAACAUACUUACUAUGCUAAAAAAAAAUAAAAAUAAAAAAUAAAAAAAAAUUCCAAAUCCAAAUGUAGAGUUAGUGUGAAAAUAAGAAUAAUGUUAUUUGCAGUCGCUCACUACAACAGUCGUCAUACGUGGCAUACACAUGGCAGGUAGUUAUUUGAUGCAUUAAUGAAUAAAAAAAUUACCACAUUAAUGUAUCAAAUAAUCACCCGUCAUGUAUAUGCCACGUAGGACGACUGUCGCAGUGAGCGACUGGCACAGUGAACGACUACGAAUAACAUUACUCUGAAAAUAAGGAUGUGGUUCUUAUUCCAAUUCGUGGAAGAUUUCGAAUAUAUGAUCAGGAAUGACAAAAAUUCUAAAUCUCAGCGUGUGAUUCUAUUCCUCUACAAGUCAAGAGAAUUAAAAAAUGAGGAAAGUUUGUUCCAUUACUAACUAUGGACGACUAAUGGCUAUGGAAUUUCUGUAGGGAAAAUAAUGCAACAUAAUGAAUUUAUCGUCCUCUAAUUUAUAUUCAAAAAAUAAUUUUUUCUAGUACGUAAAAAGUUAGACAGCGUUUCGACUUACUAAAUGAAAGGAAUAAAACAGAAAUUAAAAUGGUCGAGACAAGAGUUCAAUUCUUUUUCCUUAAGACGAUAAUACUCUUAGACAGUUUUUAGCAUUCAUAUCUCAAAAUACAACGAUCCCGAUUUGUACUAACAACAUUCCAAAUUAUAUGAUCUGAUGAACUUAUGUUUUGAUCCCUUUAAAUAGAAAGAUGACUAAGAAUGCAAGAAAAUAAUAUUCGGAAUUGAAAUGUAAAUUUUGAAAUAGUGCGGGAAGGAAUGACAAUUUUUUUAAGUAGGAGAGAAUUGAAUUGAUUUUGGAAUGAAAGAAAUUCAACAUAUAGAGGUUAAUUUAUAAAAAAGUUGAAAGGUUGUGUCCAAAAAACAUAAUUGUUGAAAAGUUGUCUUGAAUAGACACAUGUUUGGACAAAUAGCAAUUGUAUACGGAUACUAAAGUAUAUCAUAUGAAAUACGUAGUUAAAAUUAAUUAUUGACUUUAAAUCAGGGGGUGUAUUAAAUUGAAACUUUUAAUCUUUUUGAAAUUUAAAACUUUAAGGGCAUUCAAUGUAGAUUUUUUGAGACUCUCUAAAAAUAUUGGUGUAUUCAAUUGAAACUUUUAAAAAUUCCUUAAAAGUUACUGUAUAUUCAAUUAAAACUUUUUAAACGUCUUAAUAAAUUUUAAGACAUUUAAAUUUUAAUGACUUUUGGAGACUUAUAAAAAUAUGUAGAAUACUAACUUAUAAGUAAAAAGUACUCUUAAAAUCUCAAAAUUUGCUCUCAUUAAUCAAGAGUUUUUUGGGAGAGUUUCAAUAAAAAAAAAAUGUCUUCCCCCNNNNNNNNNNNNNNNNNNNNNNNNNNNNNNNNNNNUUAAAAAAAAAAAAGCUUCCCCCCCCCCCCCCCCCCCAAUAUUUCUUUUUCCUUUUUCCUUCUAUGAACAUUUGAGGUAUGAUUAAAAUUUAUUUUUUCUAUUGAUUAUAUUUGUUUUCGUUUAUCUUAUCUUUCACUUUUUGUUUAUCUCUAUUUUUUGUGAAAAAAUUAAAUUGGAGUCUUAUAACUUUUUUUUUUUCAUCUUUCCAUUCAUUUUUUUGCAAAUAUAUAUUUAUAAUUAAAUUAUAAAAUUUUAUAUGACAAACUUAUAAUUAAAUUUUAUAAAUAUUAAAUUUAUUUUUUAUCAUAUAUAUGUAUAAUUUUGAUUAUUAUUUAUUUAUUGAUGUCUUAAAUUUUUAUUAUCUUUAAAAUAAUUUCUUAUUAUAUGAGGAGGGGAAGGGGAUGGGAAAUUGUGGGAAAUACCACAUCCUAUAUAAGAAUUUUACAUUAUUGCACUAGGUAUACGUGAAUUCUACAUUAAAUGAAAGUUUUCAAAAAGUUAUUUGAAUUCUUCAAAAGUCUAUAAACAUUCUAAAAUAAAAGUUUAUAAAAGACUUUCACUAGUUUUAUACAAAUCUAUGAAAGAUCCAUGAAAUUCACAGAAGUCAUUACUUAAAAAAGACCUAUCGAAAUUUUCAAUUGAAUACACCCCUUUACUUUAAAAUAUACAUUUUAAUCUCUACAAACCAAUGGCUAAUUAUAAUAUUUAAUUUAAUGAUAAAAUAAUAUAAUUAAAAUAUUAGUUUACCAAAAAAUAUAUAUCAACUUGGGCUAAGUCCAAGCCCAGCAGCACGAGUGUGGGCUGUCACCCAACCAACUACCAUGCAGAUCCUCUUCUCUUCAAAAACUAUUAACACCACUUGAGACCCAAACUCAUGUUAAACUUGAGAUAUGUAAAGUAACAUUUUAUAUGUGGGUAGGCACUUUUCUAAUUUCUUACCAAAUUUCUAUUUUAUAAUAUAUUUUUUUAAAACUUCAAAAAUGGCCUUAAUUUUUCAUUAAUCCAUAAUUAGUUUUGAGAAAAUAAAUAUACUAUGUUAAUCUACUCGUGAAAUAUAACUCACUUGGCCAAAGAUAUCUUUCGUCCGACGAUCAGGACCCACUCAAAUAAUUUGGUCAAAAGUUGGUUUAAAAUCAAUUUUCCAACAAUUCUUGGUAGACAUUGCAAAACUGAUGAAUAAACCAACAGGACAGUGUGCCCCCUCAGAAAGAGGCUCCUCAAACUCAAUGCGGUUGCAACAGGAAGAGGGUAGGGGUGAACGAACAACAAUUGAUGCCUGAGAGAGAGUUUACGAUUUGUAAAGUAACCAUCUCUUAAGAUUAGUUGUGCAGAACGCGAUGCUCUGAGUCAUACAUGGGAUUAAACUUUGAGAUCCCUGUGAAAGACCCGUUUGGCAUGACUUUUAAAUAGGAAAAAGGAACUUUUGAGACUUAAAAGCUGUUUUUGAAUAUGUUGGACUAAUUUUAUAAAUGUGUUGCUUUUAAAGAAAGUUGAUCCAACGUUAUUUCCUUUAAAAUACACUUUUAAAAUAGAAAAUUCUUUUAAACACUAGUUUCCAACAAGAAUUAAGAUUAUUUUCCCAAUAAGCAAAAAGCAAAAAUUAUGCCAAACGAACCCUAAUUACUUUACGCAUCAAGGCAGGUGUUGUUCUCUUCAUCCCGUUAUCCACAAUCUAGCGUUGGAAGCUAUGUUUUAACCAAGAGACGUGUAAAUGGCUCGAUCCAUACAUUUGUUACUUUAAACCCUUUGUGCAAAAUGACAAACUAUAACAAAAAUUCUCUAUGACCUCUGUGCACAAUACAAUUUUGAAAUUUACAACAUUAAAUACUGGACGGAAGCUAAUGAAACCAUAACAUCAUCAAAAUGAUACCAUUCCACUCUCAAGUGUAAAGAGAUUGGUCCAUAAUUGAUAGGCAAUCAAAGGGGAUUAAACAAACCAACUCCUCGUCAAUAAUGGUGUUUCAAAUGACUUAUCAAUAUGCCCCUGCCUUCUUAGAAAUACAAUAGCAUGUUUGGCACAUAAUAUAGACAUAAUGGACGAUCGUUUACUUUCAAUGCUGUCAAAUCGAACUUACCUGGUUUUGAGGCCGGAGAGGUGGAUUUCACCAAUUCAGCACUUAAAAGGCUUUAUGAAUAGUAUAGUGCAUGCUAGGAUUUUCACAUCUACGUUUAUUUUUACUCAGACUUGUGCUUUGAAUAUCUCCUUGCAUUCGACUUUCCAACGCCACUUUUACACCGACCAACAAACUUGAGAAACUCGUCAAUUAUAAUGACUGGCAAUGAAACCAUCAGUACC
This 51991-nucleotide long non-coding RNA is filed under the name Olea europaea (common olive). Its description in RNAcentral is "long non-coding RNA (OEUR_LNC007720)". The record is from RNAcentral. Lineage: Eukaryota; Viridiplantae; Streptophyta; Magnoliopsida; Lamiales; Oleaceae.